RNAcentral lists this long non-coding RNA (46844 nucleotides) under Gossypium barbadense (sea-island cotton). RNAcentral describes it as "long non-coding RNA (GBAR_LNC020765)". Lineage: Eukaryota; Viridiplantae; Streptophyta; Magnoliopsida; Malvales; Malvaceae. The record is from RNAcentral.
UCCUUCCAUGUUUCGUGAGUUGAUUAAUGCCACUAGGUAAAAAUCUAUGGUUUUAUGACUUAAAUGUUAGUUCUAGCUAGUGGCGAUUGAAACAAACAACUUGGUCAUUCUUUGAACUGAAUUAGACAAGGGUAUACUAUUAAUUGGUUUUGCUUUUUUGUUCCCAUAGAAUACAAUGCAUGAUUUUAGUUGUUAUCAUUUAUCAAUCUAGUUCCGUACGUGCAUGGUUUUCAAUUGUUAAAAAGCAAGGAAUUAUUGGUAAUAAUCGAGGAAUGAGCAACGUUUCCCACUACGAUUAAUCCUUUGCAUGAAGCUUCAGAGGAUUGGGGUACCUAUUUCUCCCCCAUUCCAUCCACCCUAGCUAUAGCUACUUGAAAAAGAAAAACCCAAUUUUUUAAUCACAAAAAAAUGGCCUCACAUGAAUGCUGUUCAUUUCUUUAAUCUCCCUUUGUUUCUCUUAUUUCAUUGGAUGCCCUCCAUAUUCCCUCUUUUGACUUUCAUCACUUUUGAAACCCAAUCUUCACCCCCCUUUUUUUUUAUUGCGUUUUAAUUUUGUUGUUAGUUUCGGUAUUGUUAUGAAUUUUAUCAAUUUUAGUUAUAUAAUUUCAAUCCUCAAGUUUGAUUUUUUAAAUCAAAUUUUAUUAUUAAUCCUAUAUUAUAGGUAAGUUGUGAAUUUAGUCAUUAUUUUCUAUUUUAAUUCCUUCAAUUUAGUUAUUUUUAGUCCUUAUAUUAUAAGUAAGAUGACGAUGUAUUUUUGUAAAUAUUAUGUGAAAAUAACAAGCUAACAAUAUUAUAUUACACAUGCAAUAUAAUAUUAUUGAGUAAUAUUUUUCUCAUAUCCCAUUGAGAUGAAUGUUGGGGGUAUUUAUACAUCCUCUUACCGUUACUAUUAUAGUUCAUAAUUGGGUCCACUAUUUUGUCUUGACCUUGGGGCCUCCGGUACUAACAUUCUCUGCCUCUAGUGUUGACAUUCUCUGCACGCUCCUUGGCUUGCUGGACGCUUGUCUAUGUAAUACGCGGUCCUUUCUAAUCCUAGGAUUGACAUCCUUAGCAAGCUUCGUACCCGUUGGUCACAAGUCUAGAUUACUUGUAGGGCUUGCAAUCCUUCCUGCAAACAUAGUUCGUGACCCCAUCCUGCGAGGUGCGCCCUUGAACUCUUCUUGUGAGCUAUCUUGGCGAACACGCCUCUUCCGAGUCGAGCCCACCCGAGUCAAGGGUUGGAGACCCGGAUCUUUUUAGGACAUUUGGGUUGGCAAUUAUGGAUAUAUAAUAAAUAUGUUUGUCGAAUAAUAUUUUAGAAAUAAAAGAAUUUAAAUUAACAAAUUUAAUGGAUACCAUUUGAUUUAAAAUUGAAAUUUCAAAAAUAUAAAAAUUAAAAAUGACCAAAUUAUAAGAACUAAAUUUGAAAUACUAACAAUCAAUAUAUUCUUUGAAUGGAGAAAUCAUUUUUCUACCAAUUGAAUUGGUGAACAUUAUUUGAUUUAUUUAUGUUAAUCCAAUAAAAUUAGGGAAAUUAUUUGGUAAAUUAUUAAUGGAGCUUUUAGAUCUAAUAAAUAGAGAUUAAGGGUUUGAUAAAUAUUCUAUAAGAGUAUAUUAAAAUAUUAAAAAAUAAAUAUUUAAAAAAGAAGAAACACUUCUCAAAAUUUCAGAACUACUUAUAAAAUAAAAAAAAAAUACACCAUCAAUAUAUCAAAUAUUGGCUUAUAAAAUUAUAUUAAUUAUAAAUUACAAGGUAGACCUAGAAGAUAGAUAUCCCUAGAAAACAUAAAAUAAACCACUAUUAAUAAAACUCAUAAAAUAGGGUGAACUUAAAAUGCUUGUCAACAUAUAGGUUUGGAAUCUUGUAAAGCUAAAUUACAUAUAGAUUUGAGGUUACUUAGUUGGGCUAUCAUGGAUAAGUAGAAGAAUUUGAACAAUUUAUCUAGCAAACUUUUUUUAUUUUUUGAAGAACACUUGGUUAAAACCUAAACUAUAGUUGUUAUUUUGUAUUUUUAUGAGAUGACCAGUCAAAACCCAAAUAAUGCAAAACCAUAUAAAUUCAACAAAUAAGGAGAAUGGGCAUAAAAAUAUUGAACAAUCCACAAGGAUUUGAUCUGUAAAAUUAUGUUAAACAUGUUUCUGCUUAAUCCUGGAUUAUAUGGGCAAAAAUAGUUGGCAAAAGAAGAAAUUAAACCCCACCAACCGGCAUAAACACAUUACAAUAUUCAUAAUAAUGUGGUCUAAACACCCUCUUAAAAUAAAUCUGUCUAACUACAUGUAUUUUAUUUGUCUUAAUCACCUAGCUCUUGUAGGUUUUAGAAUGGGAUUUCAACUUUGAUUCAAUCAUGGUUCAUAAAUAAUAAAGGUAGCCAUUGGCACUGCCAUGAAAGUUCCUCCCUUUUGUCUACACUUGAAACUUGUUUAUUUAUGUGGCCCUUAAGGGGUCUGAUAUCUUGCAUGGUCAAAAUCUCAGAUCAUGCCCUAUCCAAAUAAAAUUAUUGGUUUUGAAUGGAUUCAUUGUAUACCGAAGGAUCAAUUUUUUUUUUAAAUGACAAUGAUGAAUGCGACAUAAGAACUUUUGUUUUGUGUUAUACAUUCAUGUUUUUGGUUCAUGUCCUGUCUAAUCCGUACUAGUACCCAAGAUUUUAUAUAUAAUUGGAUAACAUUACAUUACAAGUAUCUUAUUAUCUAUAUAUGCCAAUAUAUUUUUAUAAAAAAAUAAAAUAAAAUUACCAAUAUAUUCAUAUCUAAAACAAAAAUGAAAGUUGUUGUUAAUAUAGACAUUAAGGGUGUAUUUAGUAUUACUUCUAAGAAUCAUUGUUGGGAUAAAAAAACACUUUUGAGACCAAAACAUUUCUAAACAAGUUACUUUUUCAGAGAAAAAAUGUUUUUCCCAAGCAAGAAAUUGGCUCAUAAGCACUUUUUUGAUAACCUGAAAAUUUUAGCUUCUUCCUAAAAUUAAUUUUUUCCUCAAAAAAAUACUUUUGAGAAGUAUUAAUAAACUAAGUCUUAAGUAUGGGCAUGUAUGUCGCGCCAAAUAAGUGUAAUUAUUUGUAUAGGAUUCUUUUUCAUUAGCUAAAAACAUUGUCUAAUAUGAUUACAUAAAAAUAUUUGAAAUGGUAAUUUCCCAUACAAUACAAAAUUAGUAAAGGUAUCUAUAAUAAAGUUUUGAUUUGUAUGGAUAGGUGAUUAAAGUUUUUAUGAGACACUCGUUUGAUACAGAUUCAAAUCGUGUGACACUCGUUUGAUAUUUAAUAAAUUUUUGAAGGUAACAUAAAAAUUUUAAUAAACAUGGAAAAAAUAACAAUAUAAUACAAUUUUUGAAGGUAAUAACAUAGUAUAUUUAAACAUUAUAAGCAAUGAUGGUUAUUUUUUUAAAGUUACAACAACUAAUUAACGUAUCAACGGCUCCAAUCAAAAUAAAUCAUUACAAAUACUGAAAUGAAUAUUUGGCUCAAACUAACUACUCAAGUAAACUAAUUAACUAACCCACACAUAAUUCUUGCAUGGUAAGACUUAAAUCUAAGCGCUCAAAAUCCGAGUGCCACCAAUACUAAUUAAUUAAUACAAAUAUUGUAUCUCUAUCUAAAUUUUUGGUGUGUAUUAUCAAAAAAAAAUUGCAUACAUACAAAUUCUCAUGUCUAUAUGAAAAGUAUAUCCCAAUCGAAUUAAAUAGUUGAUAUUGAAAUGUAGAAAAAUAACUUAAUUGAAUGUGUGAUGAGUAGCGGAAUUGAAGGGUAAGUGUGUACAAAGUAGAAAUAUCCCAAAAUUUACGUGACAUUUUCUUUUCGAUGGAAUGUAAUGCUUUGGCCUAAUUUAUUAGAUUAGGAAGAAAAGAAAGUUGAAGAGGAAGAAAUUUAACCCCACCAACCGGCAAAAAUACAUCUCAAUUAAUUAAUUUGUCUAAAUUAAUCACCCUAAAAUAAAACAUCUUAUCCUAAUAAUUUUCAAAGAAAUUCAUGAAAGUGAAAGGCUUUAAAAAAUCAAUACUAGGAGCACUUAUACGUAGGGUUAGUUUUAUUAAAACUCCUCAGAUUAUAGUUCAUAUUCUAAAUUCAUCUUUAAAUUUCAAGUGUUUUAUUUGAGUUAUUAAUAUAUCAAAGUAUUGUAUCAAUUCUAUCCUUAUUAGCCUAAACCCACAAAUUUGCACCUAAAUUAUACCUUUUUUUCCAUCUUGAUACUUAAACAUUUUUUUUGUCAAAAAUAGUACCUAAAUUAUUAUUUUUUUCGCAAAUUAGUACCUCCGUUAGUCAAACUAUUAAGUUUAUAUUUAAAAAAAAAACAAUUUAACCCAUAAAUUAGUACCUAGACAAUACAAUUUUUCUCAAGUUGGUACCUAAACUUUUUUUUUAAUCUUAACUGAUAUAUUCGUUAAAAAAAUUCUAGUUAAUAAUAGACUGCCACGUCAUAUAAACUUUAAAAAAAUAAUUUUUAAUAAUUUUAUUUUAUUUUACAUUCUCUCUCUCUCUCAUACUCGAAAUUUGCCCUCCCAAAGUUGAGACAUUGGCAAUUAAUUUGUUUUUGAACUUCACCACUAUUUACUUGACUUGAUGUAUUUGAAAAAGUUCUUUCAUUGAUCAAACUAGUAUUUUCAAAAUUGAAUCGUACUAGUUGGACCAAGAACCUGAUGGGUAUCAAUCUGGAGCUAAGAUUGAAUCAAUUGACUUGCAAAUUGAUAUAAACCGAUUGAACCGAGCUAAAAACCGGUUGAAUUGAUUUUCUUUAUAUUUAAAUAUGAUUUAUUUUUAUAAUUUUUUAAUAAUUUAUUUUAUUGAAUCACACGAAUUGAUCAAAUUGAGAAUUGUUGGCUUUGACUGAUUCGACCAUCGAUCCUAUUCUAAAAACCUUGAUUAAAACCAUGAAGCCCAAAAUACUCACACUUGUAGAAGAAAUAUAAGAUGAGAGGAAGAAGAAAGAAAAAAUAUAAAAAAUAUAAAGUGAAAAGAAAUAUAUAUAUAUAAAGAAAAUAUUUUUUUUCCUUUUUUUACCACGUGAUAAUUUUUAAUUGGUUAUCUCUUUUUUUUAAAUUGACUUAACAAUUAAGCUAACGAAUAUACAACUUGAGAAAAAAAAAUUAGGUACCAUUUAUGAAAAAAAAAUAGGUAUUUAAAUGAGAAAAAAAACAAUUUAGAUACCAUUUGUAGGUCAAGAUUUUUUAAGAUAAACUUAACGGUUGGACUAAUGGAAGUAUCAACUGAGGAAAAAAAAUAUAAUUUAGAGAUCACUUAAACAAAAAAAAAUUAAAUAUCACUUAUAACAAAAAUAAAAAUAAGUAUCAAAAUAUAUAAAUAUAUAUAAUUUAAACACUUAAAUUAUUUUCCAUGAAUGUUAAGUUUUGGCCUAAUUUAUAUUAGAUUAGGAACAAAAUAAAGUUGAAGAAGAAAGUUUAACCCACCAACUGGCAAGUUUAACCCACCAACCGGCAUAAGCACACCUCAAUUAAUUAAUCUUAUUUAAAAAAUCAAUGUUAGUGGGUGAUUGGUUUUUAUCGCAUGAUAGAGAUUUGUUCUGUUUUUAAAGCUUAAUUGGAGGAAUUCUUGAUUGUAACACCCCUAACCCGUAUCCGUCGCCGAAUUAGGGUUACGAGGCAUUACCGAACAAACACAACUAUUUUUAAAACCAAACUGAUCACAAACAUGAAAAUUUAAUCAUUUUCGCAUAGCUGUUUAUAAUUUACAAUCAAAAUCUAACUAACAUCGUACUCAAACCUAUACAUGCCAUAAGAUCAAGUUCAAAUAUUUAACAAAAUACCAAAAGAAGUCGAUAGUGUGAUAGACUAUGCUGAUGAUCCCUGAGCUCGUAACGCGUCUCUAAAAUCUAUAAAAACAAAUGGACAAAAACAAUCAAAGUAAGCUUUUAUAGCUUAGUAAGUCUAUAGCAUAUCUAAAAAUACAUAUAAAAGAAUCACAUAAUUCUUUAAGUAAAUUUAUUGAAAUCACAAAUAUCAAAUAUAAUUACUAACUAAACAUUGCUAUAUUGAGUCAUUUUGUUUAAAUCUAAAAGAAUGUAUAUUUAACUAAUAUACAUAAACGGACAAAGGUAUAUACAUUAUAUGCAAAUAAUCAAGUUACUAACAUAAUCAUUAACUGCAUAUACUGAUUUCUAAAGUACUUAUUGUUCGCACUUCAUCGGAUCCAUUUAUAUAUAAUUAUUCAAUUACAUAUACCAAAAGCAUAACUUUUAUACUUAUCAACUAUAAGUGCCGAAUGCACAUAUUCACUUAUACCCACCUAUGCCGAAUGCAUACAUAUACACAUUUAAAUAUCCAACAAUUUCAUGACAACUGAUAUAUAUAUACAUACUCACUAAUCACAAAGAUUCGAACGAUUAUAUACUCAUCAAACAUCUUGAAACAAUGUUCAUAUAUUUAUCCAUUUCAUUUAAUUAAAAUCAUAUAUAUAUUUAUACCCAAUGCUUAGAAUCACUUAAUUUAAACAGAUUCACUGGCACUUCACCUUAUAGACUUAUAGUCUAAUUCCGUUCACCGGCACUUAGCCUGCUAGGCCUAUAGCCUGAUUCAGUUCACCGGCACUUAGCCUGCUGGACAUAUAAUCCGAUUCAAUUCACCGGCACUUAGCCUGCUGGACGUAUAGUCCGAUUCAAUUCACCGGCACUUAGCCUGCUAGACGUAUAGUCUGAACAAUUUCACUGGCAAUAAAUCCGAUUGAUACUGAGCUUUAAUAAAAAAAUCUCAAUUCACAGAAGUUGUAUCUCUUAUUUGUAUAUAAAAUCCACAUACAAUUUAGCUCAAUAUUCAUAACUUAUGUCUGUAAAAUACAUGGAUAGAUAUAAAUCCCAAUCAUCAAAUCUAGCUUAAAUAAUUCAAUGAUUCAACCGAAACACAUUUAUGUAUACAUAACCUCAUACUAUAGAUUCCACUUCUAAUACCAUAAAAUUUAACUUAUAAUAUACUAGGUACCUUAAACAUUUGAAUUCCCUAUAUACCUAUAUAGUUUCAUAUACCAUUUCAAUACAAGAUCUUAUACAUGUACAUAUAUGCAUAUUCGAAUCUAACAACCAUAUAUUACUCUAUACUUAUUUUCGAAACAAGAACAUAUACCUAAAUACUCAUACAUAUUCGAAUUUAACAUAUAUAUGUAUAUAUAUAAUUGAAUAUAAUUUCAUACUUAUACUCAAUAUAAUUAUUAUUCAUAAGUACACAUACUUAUUCACUUCAACUUAUACAAAUGUUCAAAUAUAUCUCAUACCUUUGAAAUUUCAUACCUAAAUUCAAUACAACAAAUUUUACAUAUAUAUACAUGUAUAUUCGAAUAUAAUUUAUACAUAUAUGUUCAUAACUAAAUUUAUUACAUGGACAUUCAUAUGCAUAUUUGUAUAUUCAUAGCCAUUCGACUCUAACAUAUAUAUGUAUACAUAAUUUCAUACUUUCAAAUUCCAAAUUUCUUUCUUUUAUACUUUUUAAAUUUAACUCAACACACAUACCAUUGAUAUACAUACUCAUAUGUUGAUUUAAUAAAAUUAAAUAGCUAAUAGACUUACCUCGGAUUUCAGCGGACACGAUCGACUAUUCGAUUACUUUCGUUUUUCCCCGAUCCAAAUUCGUUUUCUUCGUUUCUUGAUCUAAACAUAAUCAAAUUUAACCUUUUUAUUCAUCAAAACAUUCAAUUAAGUCCAAAAAUACAUAAAUGGAAAAAUUACCAUUUUACCCCUAACAUUUUACACUUUUUGCAAUUUAGUCCUUUUUGCACAAAACACAAAAUACACAAAAUUUGCCUACACUACGCUAGGGCCGAAUGUUCCUUGUCUUCAUACAAGUCCACACAUUUCAUUUAUUUCGCAUUUUAGCCUUUCAAAAAUAUUAUUUUGAAAUUUAACCCUAAUUACUCAAUUUCACCAAAAAUUCCAAUACAAAACAUAUUAAUCUAAAACAUAUCUUUCAUUAUUCACUAUCAAACAUCACAAAACACAAUUAUUCAUCAAUGGCAUAGACCAAAAUAUUCAUCAAAAUAAAAAAUUCAAGCAUGGGUCAGAUAGUAUUCGAAGUAGAGCUGCUCAUGGGCCGGGCCAGGCCGGGUUCGGCCCGGGUCCUAGGCCUGGGCCCGGCCCGACCCGAAAUAUGGGUCUAGAAUUUUGCCCAAGCCCGGCCCGGGAAAAAAUUCAUAAGCCCGGGCCCGGCCCGUUUUUUAAAUAAAUACCAAAAUUUUAUUUUAAAAAUUAAAAAAAUUUAUUUUAAAAAUAUUUUAAAAUUAAAAAAGUAUUUUAAAAAUAUUUUAAAAUUAAAAAAAUUUUAAAAAAGUAUUUUAAAAGUAUUUUAAAAUUAAAAAAUAAAAAAAUUUAUUAUAUUCAGGCCGGGCCGGGCCGGGCCCGGGCCAAAAAAGUGGUGCCCGAGGCUCGGCCCGUUUUUUAAUCGGGCCUCAUUUUUUGCCCAAGCCCAUAUUUCGGGUGGGCCGUCGGGCUGGGCCGGGCCGGGCCGCCCGGCCCAUGAGCACCUCUAAUUCGAAGCAACGAUAUCAAAAACGUAAAAAUUAUCAAAAACCGAGCUAAACACAUACCUUAAUCAAGCUUAGACAAAACCGAACCCUAGGAACUCUUUUUCUUUUCUUUUUCUUUUAAGUUUCGGCAAUGGUGAUGAAAAAGAUGAACAAGUGAUGUUUUGUUUUAUUUUUAUUAUCAUUAUUAACAUAAUUACCAAACUAUCCUUAAUGAAAUAAUAUAAAAGCUAAAAAAUGAUAGUCCACUACCGUCCAUACUAUCAUUUAGUGGCCUAAUUUCAUUUUAAGGCCUCCACAUUAAAAGAACAUAGCAAUAUAGCACUUUAACAAAUAGCAAGUCACUUUUAUAAUUUAUGCGAUUAAGUCCAUUUAUAAAAUUAAAUAACCAAUCGGUAAAAUUAAUUUACGAAAAUUUCACACAUGCAUUCUAACAUGCUUUAAACACAUAAAAUAUAAUUAAAAUAUUUUUAGGACUCGGAUUUGUGGUCCCAAAACCACUAUUCCGAUUAGAGUCAAACCGGGUUGUUACAUUGAUGGUGUGUCAUUGACAGAAGGAAUACUUCAUGACAGAAUUUUGAUACAGACCGAUAAUAUGGAUGUUAUUGGGACCAUUAAGGAAUCCUUUUUGAAGGAGUCAAAUUCUGCUUUAAUAAGAUGCAUUAAUCAACUCUUACGGAAGGAGACAAACUAGUCCAUAGAUUAUGUUCCUAGAGAAGACAACAUGGAAGUUGAUCAAAUAUGGAAGUUGAUCAAAUUAUUAAGUUGGCUUUUGAUAGAGAGGAAGUCGGCUAUUUUACAAAAAUAAUACAAAAAAAUAAAAAAAAAUACCUAAAUAUUAUAUCUUUUUUUAUUUACCAAAAUGGUACAAAAAAAAACAGUUAAAAAAAAACCUGAAAGAAGGGCCUGCCACAGGCGGUACCUUUGGUGCCUGUGGCAAAGGCGGCACCAAUUGUUCGUAUUUCGACCCUUUGUUCGUAUUUUUUUUCGGAUUUUAUUAUUUUAAAAAAUAUAAUAUUUUCUAAUUUUAUUAUUUUACAUUAUUUUAGUACAUUAUAUUUGAAAUGUAUUCAUUUAGUAUGUUUUUUAAAUAAAUUUAAAAAAAACCCUUAUUUCGGCCCUUUGUUCGUAUUUUUUCCUGGAUUUUAUUACAUUCAAUAAAAAUAUAUUAUUUUCGUAUUUUAUUAUUUUACAUUGUUUUAGUACAUUAUGUUUGAAAUGUAUUAACUAAUUUUGUUUUUUAAAUAAAUUUAGUAAAAAACCCUUAUUUUGACCAUUUGUUCGUAUUUUUUCCUUAGAUUUUAUUACUUUUAAAAAAUAUACUAUUUUUUAAUUUUAUUAUUUUACAUUAUUUUAGUACAUUACAAUUGAAAUGUAUUCAUUCAGUGUGUUUUUUAAAUAAAUUAAAAAAAAACCCCUUAUUUCGGCCAUUUGUUCAUAUUUUUUCCCCGGAUUUUAUUACUUGCAAUAAAAAACACACUAAAUGAAUACAUUUCAAACAUAAUGUAAUAAAAUAAUGUAAAAUAAUAAAAUUAGAAAGUAGCAUCUUUUUUAAAAGUAAUAAAAUCUGGAAAAAAAAAUACGAACAAAGGGCCGAAAUACGAAAAAUUGGUGCCGCCUCUGCCACAGGCACCAAAGAUACCGCCUGGGGCAGGCCCUUCUUUCAGGUUUUUUUUUAAACUGUUUUUUUUUGUAUCAUUUUGGUAAAUAAAAAAAAGUUAAACUAUUUUGAUUUUUUUUUUGUAUUAUUUUUGUAAAAUACCCGAGGAAGGCUUACAAAUGCAGUUUCUCCUCUAGUUUCUUUUUAGUUCUUUUAUUUAUUUUUGUAACACUUCUUUUAUUCAUAAAAUAAAAAAUCAAUGCUAGGAGCACUUAUAAAUAGGGUUAAUUUCAUUAAAAGUCCUCAAAUUAUAGUUCAUAUUCUAAAUUGAUUUUUAAUUUCAAAUGUUUUACUUGAGUUCUUAAAAUAUCAAUAUUGUAUCAAUCAUACCAUUAUUAGCCUAACCACUAGUUUAGACAUUAAAUGUUGGUUUGGAUUUGAAGUGAAGCAGAUUUUAAACUACCCGAAUCAAAUUGUAAAUACGUUUGUACCUACCAUAUAGGCAACUUAAUUUGAUGUGUUAAAAAAGCAAAUAGUGUAAACCAUUUUCUUAAUAUAUUAGAUCCAAGCUAUUGACACAUGUUUUUAUAAUUUAACCCACGUACUUUAAUUAUGCUCCAUGCUAAAUUUGAGCGGACAUUUAAUAUUUAAAUUAACGGUUAUAUUAUUUAAAAAUGUGAUUAAUAAAAAGUUAGAUAUUUUGGAAACUCUUAUUAAAUUUGAAUACCAAUGUAAAGUUUUGGUGCAAUUUUAUUUUUGUAUUUUGUUUUAUGUUAUAGAUUCAUAUGUUGUUGGAUUUCCUCAUAUUCUAACAAAUCAAUUAAACAAUAAUAUAAACUUUGGAAUGAAGAAACAAAUAUUAUAAAUUAGAAGUAUUCAUGGUUGUCACAUUUAUUUUCCAGACAAAGCAAAUCAAAUAUUUUUGCAUCAUCAUGCAUUUAUUAAAUAAAAGGGUUCAUGAAUAAUGCAUGAAAACUUCCAUUUUUUAUUCAUGAUGUCAAAAAUGGGAUUUCAUGAUUAGAAAUAAAAGAAGAAAAGGAAGAAACAGACCUUUCCUAAGAUAAGCUCAGAUUUGGUCUGGAUUAUGUAGACCAAUAGAAUGAGAUAUGAAGUUAUGAAAUAAAUCCAAAUAUAUUCCAAGAGAAAGGACAUCUUCUUGGAAACCCCUUUCCUACUCUUCCUUCCAUAACCAUGUAGACCAGUCAAUUUUUUUAUAAUAAAAAAUUAAGUCUGCUCAGCUGAUAAUGGGUAAUUUUAGGAUUCGAAUUUGAUCUUAUAAAUAUCUAGGAAAGAAAUUUACUUUCACUUUUUUCAAUCAUUGGUUGAAAUUUAGAGAUUAAUUUUCAGUGUAUGUACUUUUUAAAUAUACGACUAUUUAAUAGUUUUGGGUGAACUGAUGUAAUUUGGUGGAAGAUGUUCUUCGGAUUUCGGAAGUAUCCUCCAUAAAAGAGGCAAACACAUUCAAUCUAAACACGUGCAACAUUCUAAUAAAUUCCAUACAUGUUGACUUUUGAUUACUUACUAUUCCUUAGUUAGAAAGUUUUAAUAUUGACGAGUCAGGGUAAUUGCACCUAUCAAAGAAAUUUAAAAGGCUGUUAAAUGAAUUUCAAUUUGUUAACUAUUACUUACCAAACCUUGUUUUAUAAUUUAAUUUGAUUCUGUAGUCCAAAUAAUCGAGUAUAGUAGUAAUUAGCAAACAAGAAUACUUGUACAACCCAACAAACUAAGGCCAUUCCCAAUGAUCCACAUAUUAAAAUCUUGCCUAUAAUGGAUAAGCAGAAGAAUUUGAACAAUUUGUCCAGCUUUGGAACACUUGGUUAGAACUUAAACUAUAGUUUUUAUUUUGUAUUUUUUACGAGAUGACCAGUCAAAAGCAAACAAGGAGAAUGGGCAUAAAAAUAUUGAACACUCCACUAGGAUUUGAUCUGUAAAAUUAUGCUAAACAUGUUUUUGCUUAAUCCUGGACUAUAUGGGUAAAAAUAGUUGGCAAAAGAAGAAAUGAAACCCCAACAACACAUUACAUUCAUAAUAAUGUAGUCUUAAAACCCCUUAAAACAGAUCUGUCUAAUUAUAUUUUUCUUAAUCACCUAGAUAUUGUAGGUUCUUGAAUGGGAUUUCAACUUUGAUUCAAUCAUGGGCUCAUAAAUAAUAAAGGUAGCCAUGAAAGUUCCCAACUUGAAACUUAUUUAUGUGGCCCUUAAGGGGUCUGAUAGCUUGCAUGGUCAAAAUCUCAGAUCAUGCCCUAUCCAAAUAAAAUGAUUGGUUUUGAAUGGAUUCAUUGUAUACCGAAUGACAAUGAUCCAUGCAUUUAUAACAAGUUUUGUUUUGUGUUGUGUUAUACAUUCAUGUUUUUCGGUUCAUAUCCGUACUAGUACUGGAGAUUAUAUAUAAAGUUGGAUAGCUUUUUAACUAGAAGGUCUUAUUAUCCAUAAUUCUCAAUAUUUUUCAUAUCUAAAACCAAAUGGCGGUAUUCGUUGUAGAUAUAGACAUGGUGCCAAUAAGUGUUGUUAUUUCUAUCUUUUCUCUUACCUAUAAACAUUGAGUAGAGAAAAAUAUUUGAAUACUAUAAUUUAAACAUUACUUGUUGAAUACAAAUAUUAUGAGGAUUUUUGACGCAUAAUAACUUGUGUUGUAUCAUCCGGUGACCACGACGGUGAUUGGAUGAAAGGGAUGGUAAGAGAUAUCCCAAGGGCUUCUAGUGUCCAUGCCGAAUUAUGGGCCUAAAUCUCUUGGAAUUAGUUGUCAUGAGAUCAAACUUGAUGCCACUGCUGUUAUUAAAGCUAACCUUGAUAAUCAAAUGCUCACGAUAUUGAUUCGAGGCUUCUUAUGAAACAUAUGUUUAGAGAAGGAAAUCAAUGUGUUAGGCAGCAACUCUAUGGAACCUCGGACUGCCCAAGUAUUGGAUUUUGGUUUUGUUGUUAACUGCUAUGAACCCUAUUUGUAUUAAAGAUUUGCUACAAUGAGACGUGGUAUAUAUACGUUUUUUUCUCAUUGAAUGUUGGAAUUAUACGAAAUACAUUCAAAUAAAUAUCUAAAACAACGGAGAUCUACUUGGAAUCCCUUUCCUACUCUUCCUCCUGUAAGAAUGUGGAGUUUGAUUAAUUCGAAUCCUCUCACCAUUCAUCUGCAAUAUAAUUUUUAGAUUAAAAUACCGUUAAAUUAAACCUAUUCGAUAUAAAAUUUAUUCAUCAUGUUUGUUGUAUAUGAAAUUAAUGAACUGUUUUUAAACUAUGAUUAUGAGAAAAACUGUGGGUGUUUGUGGAGAGGAACUUACAUGAAGAGUUUGGUGAGAGGGAUGAUGUUCCUUGGAUUCCAAGCAUCCUUCACCCGUACAAUCUAAACAAGACGAUGUAUAUUUAGAGGCAUGGGUCUCACAUAAACUAAACAACUUGGCUUCCAAAGAUGGCAAUACCCCGCUACUUUCAACCUUAUUCUGUUCCUCCAUUCUUAAUUUCUUUAUUUCACAAUUCACAUAUGAAACUCCUCCUAAUAUAUACGUAUUUGUAUUACUCACAUAUAUGAGAAUAAGGAAAUCAUAGUUCUAAGAGAAGUAGGACACAAGUUUUCCAUAUUGUAUUAGGAAUUCCUACUAUUUCCCUUUUUUGUUGGAUGACGAUUUAACUACAUUAAUAACAAAACAAAUUCGAGGGUGACUUUAUGUACUUUUUGUUAUUGCAUAACAUCUGAAAAACAAAAGAGUGAAGUUCAUUAAUACAUCUCUUAUAUUUUUAGUCAAAUAAAUAUAAGUUAGACAAUGCUAAACUUUUGUACCCUUACCCUCAAGCAUUCCCUUCAAAAUUGAACUAAACUAUAACAUGAAAAUUGAGAAUUUCAGUUCAUAGGUGAGGCAAUGGAGGUUGAUUUUGACUUUGGAACAUGGAUUUGCUUUUUAAGUCUGUUCAUUGAUGGGACAAUUGUCGAGAUAAUAAUGGAGGGGUGAUUUGAGGGCUUUGGAAUGUUUGGCUGAAAUUGGUGGAUUUUUAAGGGGUAAUUAAGAAAUGGCCCUAAUUGGUCAUUUUGGUACAACCGCAAGGGACCCUUUGCAGUUGUAGCUGCAGUUUUUCUUUCACCACCUGCAAGAAUUUGCUGAAUGUUAUAUUUUUAAUAAACUGUAUGAACUAGAUAAAUGAAUCAUUGAAUCGUAAAUUGGCAGCAAACUUUAUUCAAAAAACAUUGAAAUUCAAUUUUAUCGUUCAAGAUUUUGAUGUUUGUAUAUGAUACUGUCAAUGUACACUUCUUAAUUUGAACAUCUAAAGAACUGUCAGGAUCUGCCUGCUGAACUUUUUUGUGUAUGAAGAAAGGGUUGGAACUAGGAAGUUGCGAGUCGCUACAAAGACGAAAGGAGCCAAAGGUUGAAGAGAGUUGAAGCAAAGGAUAGAAACCACGACAUGAAAGCCAUAGCUGCAGACAACUGAUAUCUACUGCAUAUCUUUGACGGGCAAUAUGUUGAGCUGACAUUGACCAAGAGACUUGUCACACUAGCAGUUGAGCAAGCCGCGGCUAGUGAGAGAAAUGACAAGGCCUGCAAUCAGAUAAAACACAUGUUUUUACAUCAAAUUAUGAUAAGGGAUAACACCAUGGUGAUGAUAUGCAUAAUAAGCCUUGUAACAUACCCAGUCUCCAACAAUGACAACCAGCAGUACCCUUGGUUGUCGUGGUAAGCCUUUAACGAACACGGAAUAUGCAUCAACCAAUGCUAAUGACACACUCCAUGGAGUCACUAAACCCAUGACUGUCACCAAGUAGCUGCGAAAAAAUUUAAAGGAAAAUUGGAGAUUGAUUUAUCACCCAACAAUUGGUGACCAACAAUGAAAACACAAACAUUCUCUUCUAUAUCAUUAUAUCUAAUGAGCAAUUGAACAUUAUAGUUUGUACCUGCAAUUGAUCGAACAACACCACAGACAAGGCAAGUUUAGACAAUAGAAGACCUUAUCCUAUGGCAAUUUUUUAUCAUUCAAUAGCUUCUGUUACUAGUGCAAGGGCUUUGAAAUUGCAAGAACAGAUACGGUAAAACGGCCACGCCAGUCAUAGCAAAUUGGUACUUAUGGUCUUAUGUUUUUGAAGUACAGAAUAAAGUGGUUAUAUUCAUUGUCUUAAGAUUGAUCCAGAUGGUUUGUGCUGAUCUAUAGAAGUUAGAUAGCAGAUACAGACAAUGCCUCAUUAUCUAGUUUCAUCUUUCCAGAAACAUGCAAAACACGAGGACCCAAGUCAAGGAAUAAAGUUUAAAUGCAAAAGCCAUACAAGACCACUAUCUACUUUUACAAUUCACCUUGUUAACUAUCUUGAUUCCCUUGACAUCAAGCUUAAUCAUCCUUGAUAUUAGCACUUGAUGAGCUAUUUGGUUCCGGCCAUUUUGUUAAUUGCUUAAAUUAAAGCCUUUUUCUUGUACAAAUGCUCCCAACAUUGUGCAUUUUAUACACAAAAAAAGACACAUUUUUUGCAUUUCCAUUCACCUAGUGAAAACUUUUAACAGAGGAAAAGUCCGGAAUCCAGCCUUGGAUAACAAAUAUCAUCAGCAAAUAAAUUAUAUUCUAUGGUCUAGUUCAACAACUAGCCAAGUAACAGGUCAUGUACAUUGAGAAUGGUUUUGAUAACUCUAAUUGUUGAAAGUCCAAAUUCAGUCAUCCAUACAAAAAGCAAUUGAUCUUUGCAUAUCCCUGAAUCAAAAUAGACUCUCAGAUAACUUUACCCUUUCAAUCAUUAAAUGGCACCUUUCCCUGCAGUCAUCCAUAAGCAAGAAGCAAGAUUUCCUGAAAAUGGCUUUUUUUUAAACCUUAAAUUGUUUUGUUUUCAUAAAAAAAAAAAUUCACCUAAUUCAUUUUCUCCCCAAGCCCAAAAGCCCUUCCCUUCAAAUAAUUUCCAUGAAGAUACCAGUGGAACCAGAAGUACUUUUGCUCUCUCCAACAUGGUAAAGCCGCUAUUUUACAUGGCAAAAAGACACACAAAGCUUGCCUAACCUCAAUCCAAAUCCUUAAAGACCAAUCACUAAAAUGAUCACGAUUGUGAUAGUUUUUCCCUGGAGGUUCCCAAAGUAACACCAGAACCAGCUAUUAAAAGUUGACAACGAAUUGAAUUCCGAGCAAAUAUCAGAAACAAAGAGGCAUGGGUAUUGAAGAUUAAAAGCCAAAGAGAGGAAGAAAGAUAAAAUAUGACCAAAUAAAUGGAAGAAUCUUAAAACGUUGACAGUUACCUGAAAGAAGUAUAGCUAUAGAAUUCAACAUCCAAACACAUAAAGAGAAGUGAAGCAGCGGAGAAAACAGUUUGUCCCAAACGAAGAGCCAAGCUGGCGCUUGUUCCCAACGCCCCUGGCACUGCUUCCAUCGUCCCUCAUGUCAUCUUAUCUCUCUGUUUCUUCAUCUUCAGUGUAUUCCCCUAAAACCCAAUAAAAAAGCAGAGGCCAAACACUAGGAGAAGGGAUUGAAGGGAUUGAAACAAUAGAAUUAGAGUAAAAAAGAAAAAGAGAGAAACAGUGGAGUCCUAGGAAUAGGAUGAAGAAAUGGAAAGAGAGGAAAAAGAGGAGAUGGGUAGGGUGAAUGAUGAAGGAUGAAGGAGGAGGAGGAGGCCAAGUUGUUGUAAUGGCGCUUUUGGGUCAAUGUCAAUUCUCUCUCUCAUUCUUAAUUUUACAAAUGGACUGUCCCUCUUUUCUCCAUUUUUGAUUCUUGUAAGUGGAUUCCCGGGGGUUGUCCACUCUUUUGACGAUGUAAAUAAUAAUGUGUCAUUCCUUCACGUAUAUACUACCAAGACACUGUUGAGUUGAAGCUACUAUAUUUUAUUUCUGAAAUGCAAAUGAAAUUCAAAUUGGUGAAAUAUUUAGAAAUUAAACAUUGAAUAAUUGGAACCAUACAAAGUUGAUUGCCGGGCCAAGACAAUUGGAACCCCACAAAAUGGUAUUUAAGAGAGAACAAAUUCCAUUUCUAAAGACGUGGUUCAUCUAUCCUACAGUUUGGAACACCCAUGAUUCAAUCAUUUCCAACCCAAUGUUUAUAAUAUUACUUGUCUAUCUGCUUCUGCUUUUUCAACACUUCCCUCUAAAUUAUACGACUUUCUCUAUUUCUUAUCUGUAUUUAUCAAAACACUACGGCAUCAGUUGACUUGUCAUUUUAGGCACCAAAUGCAAGGAAACUAUAAGUUUAUUCACACAAAACACUAUUUUGAUGAAUUCAAAAUUGUCUACACUUAGAUCAUCUUUCUUUUUCCAGAUUAUUAUUAUUAUUUAUAAAAUUAUCAUUUAAUAAAUAAAUUUCAUAUUUGAAAAUGAAAAAAAUAUAUAUUCAUUUAUUUAUAAAUAUUUUUAUAAUUUUCUACAUAUUUUUACCAAAAAUUAAACUUUUAAAUAUUUUGUUUUAUGUUUUUCUAAUUUCUAAAUUUUAUUUUUUAAAGAAUCAAGGCUAAAUUCACAAAAUGUAUAAAAUUGAGGGUUAAUUUAUUAUUAUGUAAAAAAAAAAGACCACCACUAAUGAGUUAACAAAGGGAUGACCAAAAUAUUAAAUUUUAAACUUAAAAUAACUAAAAUAAAAAUACACUAACAAUUUUGUAGUUUACCUAUAAACAUUUUCUGAAAUUGAAAAGAUAACCUUUUCUAGUUUCAGCCUUUUAUCAGACUUGUUGAAGAUGCUAAGAGGAGUAGUUUUAUUUGGUAUUAUUAUGUGGGUGGUACACUCAUUGAUUUAUUUAGUUAUUUCUUUGGCAAGUGAAGAGUUUGGGAGAGUAAAUUGGACAACAUUUAGGGUGUCAUUAUUCAUUUGAGUGCCAGCAUACUAGACUUAAAUCAAUAGUUGUAUAGAAAAUACUGUUUAAUGAAUUCAUUCUCUAAUCUAGACUCUUAAAAGUAGAAUUGUUUAAUCUAAAUUCGCCUCUUAAGUAAGGAUACCCAGAAGAAAAAGGUCAAGUGAAUCGUUAGGGUGUAUAUGAUUAACUUAUAGUUACUAAUAAAACAAAUAAUUUUAUAUCUCAAGUUCACGAGACAGAAAGAAUUGUAGUGAAAAAGUUUCACUAACAAUUUGGAUGGAAUGAAAUAAUUAUUUCAACUCUAUCCAAACAUCUAUAUAUAAUGUACAAAUAAAUACACAAGUGUCUUUUUGAAAAGUCUUUAAAAAUUUAUCAAAUAAACAAGAUUAUUCGGAUUUAAAAUCAAUAAAUAAACAUAUGUUUUUGACUUAAGGCACCAACUGGGACAUCAUUAACAUCUUUUCUUUCUCCUUUCAUGAUUGCAAAAAUAUAUGCAUAUCACAUAUAUAAAUAUAUAUUAUAUAACUAUGUAUCAAUCAUAACUAUGCAUGUAAAAUAUCAUGUAUAUAAUAAACUAACUUUUGAUUUUCAUAAAACAUUAAUGCAUUAGACAUUAUACUUUUAAAUCAAAUUCAAGCAACAUGAAUAAAAUGAUAAAUUUGACAUACAUGUCCUCGCGAUAAAGGUUUCUUCUAAAUCAAUUUUUGAUAAGAUUAUUGACCUUGAUGCAUUUACAUUUGUCAAUAGCCAUCCUUUUAGUAUCAUGCUUGUAGUGUCGUGUAAAUAAAUACGCCUUCAUUAAUAUCUGAUAAGUUUUCCAAAAAAAAAAAUCUUAAAAUUGUUGGCGUGUGGAGAUAAAAUAAUCUUAUUAGAAAUUAACCGAAGGCUUCAAGGCUUGUAACCAUGCCACUAUUUUUAAGGAUGAAGGAUAAUAAAAAGAAACUUUUGAAGUUGUUCUUUAUAGAACAAUCUAAGAAUAUUAGAAGAUGAAGGAGAAUAAAAGAAACUUUUGUUUUUCAACUUUUGAUGUGAUUUUGGUGUUACAUACAAAUGAAAUUUCACUCCUAUUUAUAUGACAUAACUUUUGAUAUUUAAGUGACAUACAUUAUCACUAUAAAUAGUGACAACUCUUGAUCAAUAAUCAAGUGAUACAACUCUUGAUUACUUAUAACUUUGGCAUAAUGACUUCUUUAACCUUUCAACUUUACAAAAAAAAAUCAUUUUAGCCAUCCAUUUUUUUUUGUUCGUUUUAGCAUUUGAACUUGUAUUUUUUGUCACAUCACCUCAAAAUGGAUGGAAAAUUUAAUGUUUGUUAACUCUAUUGAUGCGGCAUACAUGUAGAUAGCCAUGUAAAUGACAUGUCAACAUUUAAUUAAUUUUUUAAAAUUUAAAAUUAUUAAAAAUAUAAUUUUAAUGAUUUUAAUUUUAAAAAAUAGUUUUAUAUUUUUAAAAUUUUAAAAAUUAAUUAAAUGAUGAUAUGUCAUCCACGUGGCAAUUCACAUAUAACAUUAGCAAAAUUUUUAAAAAAAAUUGACUUUUCCAUUCAUUUUGGGGUGAUUUAAUAAAAAAUACAAGUUUAAGGGCUAAAAAGGCAAAAAAAUAAAUGAAGAGCUAAAAUAGCUUCUUUUUUUGUAAAGUUAAAGGGUCAAAUAAGUCAUUAUGCCUAUAACUUUUCAUUUACAACUAUUAAAACCCUAUAUUAGAAAUGUUACUACAAAUAUUUCUCCUACAUGUGAAAGACCUACAAAAUUAAUGAUAUCUUAAGUUAAGAAGCUGAAACUAGAGUUAAUGAAAUUUCAACCCUAAAAACUCUAGUCUUUUAAUUUCCUAUAGGUAAAGUGUAGUAAAAUCCUGAAGUUACUCUAGGAUUUCAUAUCUUUUAUCUACUCCAAAAACCAUACUUGUGUCUUUUAAUCAAUGACAAAACAAACCCAACAAUUUUAUCCAAUCAUUAGGAUGGGUUUAUACAUGUUUAAUUAUGUUGUAAUUCCUAUAAAUUAUUAUACAACAAUAAAAGUUAUUUUGAAGCGUUCGAUAGCAUCAAGGUAAUUGUUCACCUUAAUCCGAUCGCGUUUGAUUGUUUGCUGAUGUAAUGGCUUGCUUUGGUGGCUAUUGCUCAUUCCUAUGGCUUUGAAUCCUCCUUUUCGUGUUUAGUAAUGGAGGCCUGAUUGAAGUGUAGGUUUUUCCUGAGCAGUUCAACUCGGACUUUAGAUUGAUCGGCUUUGGGGUGAACUGUGACUCUCGUUCAAGUGUACUAAGAUUGUUGAAAGCUUUGGCUCAUUUGGAGCUAUUGCUCUUGUUGCAUGUAAACCUAUUGGAAAAACAUUUGUUAAGGACCCUUCAGCUGUAUCAAGCCCUUUCUCAAGAAUCGUAAGAGAUUUCAUAGCAGCCACACUUGGUUUUGAUUUUGCCCAGGCCCUGUUUUCACGAUCCACAUUGGGGAGAGUUGUACAAGUAUUUCAUCUUCUAAAUGUUUAUUAACUACUGGAUUAUUAUCUACUUCUUUAGGGAUUUUGAAGAAGAUCGUGAUGUUGAAGUACUUGAAGCCACGGUUUUACCACCACUUGCACGGAAGAACCAAGGCCGUUUAUUGAUGAUUUACAUUCAAACUCCUUAAUGAGAGUGAGAUUAUUUAGUUUCCAGGAUUCCCAGUGCUUUGAUCAAAAGUAACAGGGGUUUGUAGUAGAAGCUUAGAAAAUUAUUAUAAGAAGCCAACAUAGUAACAUACAAAGAAGAUAAGGGUUUCUCAGUGGAUUACUGCAAAGUUUAGCAACACUUGUUUAAAAAUUACAAAACCUCAGCCGAGAAUAAACAAAUUCAUACAAGACUUGUUUAUGAAUCAAGCUGAGCAUACCAGACACCAGUGAUCUUGACAUCCUUUGGAGUCUUGGCACCCAAGUCAGUGUCAGAUGGCUGAAGGCUCUCGAACACACCGAUAACUUCACCGGUCUCCGGCUUGCUCUUUGUGACGCUCAAGGUGAUUUUCCCUGAUGAAGAUGCAGCACUCUUGUUGUUCUCCUUGGCUAGCUCUUCCUCAUCCCCUCUUCCUCCAGCAGGCAAGGCCACUGCAUUAUCGUACCCGGUUGAGCCACCCCUUCCCUUUGGGUCCAAGAAAGAUGAGCCACGGUAGGAUGGUACAAGGAAGUCUCCUCCAAAGCUAUCAGGUUUGCCUGAUGCAACCAAUUGCUUGAUGGUGAACAGGAAAGGCACACGCUCACCACCAGGAAGCUGAACUGUGACGGCAGCAUAAUCAAUCCCAUCUUUCUCCUCGAAUUUGACGGUGCCAUCGGUGGAUACCUCGAAAGGGCCCUCGAUUUCGUCAAGGGUGUAGGUUAAACGGGUCAUGAGCUUGGUGUUUUGGAACUCAGGAGGGGCAUUCUUGUUAACACCCUCAGCCUUGACAGUGAAGGAAGUGGGCUCCAAGCAGAACUUCUUGGCGUAGUAUUUGCCAGGCUUGAAGGCAAAAGAGUCGACACCACCAUCGAUGGUUGGGCACUGGUUAGCAGUUCCUGUUCCUUUGACUUCCAUGUAUGUCUUGCUUUGGAUUUCAUCGUAGGUUAGCCGCUUUGGAACUCCUUCAGCGCUUGCUCCCUUCAAAACAAACCAGUCAUUGUAACAUAUUUGUUCAGAUCACGGAUCAUAUAUGAUCCUUAUGUAUGCAAUCAACGAUACUUGGUUCAAAUAAAAAAUCCAAAUGAUAAAGUUACAACACCAUGCAAGCUCAUUAAGAAUCCUACCUAAGCUACAUAAAAAUAAAUACAGAAAUUUGAAGCAAGUGAGAGGCGAGAAGUAAAUACCGAGACAACAAGAGCAGAUGUAGCAAGAGCGAAACCAGCGAGCUUGGUAGCAUCAACACACUUCUGAGCCAAGUCCUUGAGGUCAGUUUGCAAAGAGCAGGUGAGCCUAGCACCAACAGGCUCCAAACCGAAGGCCUUAGAAACGCUCUGGGAGGACCUGAGCAGCACAUUGGUCCUUGAUGGUGCAGCAACCUUGAUUGGUUGCAUCAGGGUAGCUGCAGCUUGAAGUGAGACCGACAUUGUUACGAACUAUUGGAAAACAAAGAAGAGAGAGUUGUUUUAGUGAGAGCGUAGGGGAAAUUUAGGGGCCAAUUAUGUUGGUGGCAAUGGUGAGAGUAAAGAUAAGGGGAUAGGAUAUGGGAAGUUCCCAUUGGUGGAUGAAGGUAAUGUGUUUGGUUUCAGGGUAUGACACGUGGAGAUUUUGUGAAAUGGGAUAAAAAUGGGUGUUAGUCAGAGUGGAUGAUGUGAGGGACUACAGAUUUUCUUAAAGUUAGUUCUGCCAUACAAAUUCCGGUGGUUGCCCUUCCUCCACUGGGGCCAUCAUGCUCAGAGAGUACUUUGAGUUGGAAAUCAUUUGGUUAACAUAUGCUGUUACUCCCUAUAUUUUGAUACAAUUUGAGAUUUAGUCUUUGUACUUAAAAAAUUUUAAAAAUUAAAUCCUACUUUUUUUUCUUAAAAAUCUCAGUGCAAUCAUCAAAAUCACAAGUACUUUCUGUCAAAAUAUUUUAAUUUUUCGUAAGUAUUUUUUUGUCAAAUUUUGUUAACUUGAAAUUCUAAUUAGGUUUUUCUCAUAUGAUUGAUAGAAAAUAAAUAUAUUAAGUCGACAAAUUUUGAUAGAAACUACCAACAAAGAUAAUAAUUGAACUAGGAUUUUUAAAUUGAAAAAUUAGAAUGAUUGAUUUUUUUUACAUUUUAAGUAUAGGGACAAAAUUUUAAAUCCUACACAAGUACAGGGACCAAAUAAAUUUCAUCAGCUUCUGUCGUGUUUGGGUUCCGACUGGGAUGUAAAAAGUGUCCAAAGUAGCAAGCCCAACCCAAACUAGAAGAGAAGUAAAAUCAUAAAAUAAUGAUAAUGGCCCAUCCAGGAAAUUCGCGUUAUUAGCACGACGCUCUAACCAGCUGAGCUAAUAGGCCUUGAUGGCAAAUGAGAUUUUAUUAUAUAAAUCAAGAGGCUACAGGAUUUCGUAUAACAGUUCAAUAAUUCAUACACGUGGAAAGACAGAUUCGUCAUUGACGAUUAUCAACGAGAAUUGACAGUGUUUGUGGGAAAACCAGUCUAAAAUAACCAACCCCUUUCUUUAUUCCUCUGCUUAAUUUAUUCAUAUAUUAGCCCUAUCAUUUCUCUUAAGGCAGCACCCUCUGACAUCUGGCAUGCAUCCACAGCAUUUAUGAAGAUUGCUGGUUACCUGCAAAACAAAACUUUAAAGUUGUUUCAUAUUCAUAUUCAACCAAAAACAUCAAGCUUGGCUUUUUUGUCCCUAGCUCGCUUAUCAUGAUCAUCAUCUUUCCUUUCGCUUUUUCGAAACAACAGGUUUAAAUGUCAACAAAUAAAAAUACCCAUUUUCCCAAUAUGUUGUAGUUGGGUAUUGAAGUAAAGAUUAGACGACCUCAAAGAGCAACUAAAACUAUGACAAGUAACCUCAUACACCAAAAAGUCAAAGAAAAACUAUAACCUGAAACUGGGGUUGCAGGUUGCUGAUUAUUGUUGUUGUUUGUCGCAUUAGUUGUGGAUGGGAUGACAACGCCAGGCCAUGAUCGGCACAUGCAGUGUUUUCCCACAUCUAUGCUGGCAUAGAGGGUGGAUAGAUGUUUCCCACAACCACCCCAAGUGUACUUUCCACAUUGCCUGCAAUCCACCCUGUAACAUAUUCUUUAGGAAUUUCUUCGCUGGCAAGAUUUUUAAAUCUUGUACUGAUAUUUGAUGUUGCUUCACAUCUCUUUAUCCUUCUCCUUUUUCAGUCUUUAUAAUGAAACCUUUGCUUUGAUGUAAUCGAACACAUUGUUGCAUAAUUAGCUAAAUAGUAAAAUAGAAACUUUGCCUGCUUAUCUUCUUGUUUGUAUCGCUUUGCCUAGUUAUAUUCCUGUCGUCCUAUUCACUCGCAACUAUCCUUUCCGCCCCUGUUUUCAUAAUAAUAAUAAUAAUUGUUGAUAGAUAUGUCAAUGCAUUAAAAAAGGUUGGCACUGUUUAAGAUUCACCAAUAGCAACAUAAAAGGAUAAAUGCAUGUGGCAAUACAAAAAUUCCAAUCAGGCUUUUAAAAGUAGGGAAAUGAUUAUAUCUAACCAUUGAUGUACCGCAAUUACAUAUUAGAUACACUACUAGAUGAGAGCUUUGCACGAAAAUGGUAAGAGUUUUUCAGAAGCAUAUUACAGCAGAAUAUAUCAAUUAUGAAUACAGGCAACCAAAACUGUAGUUUGCUACUACAGAUGGUAAGCUUCAACGGCAGACCCCGAUAACUACUAGUUAGGCAUUAUCAAAAUCUAGGACCCAAAAUCAGGAGGCACUGAUGCCGCCUCCCUCAGAUUAUGGGUCAAUUGUAGGUUUCUUUAUUGAGCUCGAUUCUACGGCACCUGCACUCAUCAAAACACGCUUCACUCCUCUUCCUACGAUGCCAAGACGAGUGACCGCCAUGGCCCCAUUUGUAUGAGCAGUGGAAACAGUUGGAGAGUCAAAAUGAUCUACGUUGCUGUUAGCAGGAGACAUAUGUGAAGAGUUCACUGCAGCAGGAGAUGCAUUAUUCUCACCGCCCCUUGACUUGCCAGAUGCCAUUCCCUGGAUUUCUGCAAUAAUUGACUUUGGGUCGGAGAUCAGCUGCUCUAGAUCUUCAAGCUACAAAUAUGAAAAUAGACAGAAUAAUAAAGUAUGUUUUACAUCAUUAUUAUUUAGUUCAAAUAGAUCAUCAAAAUUGCACUUGCCUUCUUUUCCAGGUCUUCAGCAAGUCCAACAAGAUUGUCAAUUUCUGAUUCUUUAUCUUUGACAGAUAGAACAGUCGGAGAGCCCUUAGACAGUUGUUCACCGUCACCCAAUUCAGAGGCAGCUGAAGAUGAUGCUAAUCCAGUGGAAAUCAUUAUCUCAUUCGUGAGCAGUUGCACCCGAGACUUGCAAACUGAGAUGGCCUUCUGACCGUAUGGAAUUGCUUCUUUGGGGUUUGAGCCAAUCUCCAAACACGUACAAAUCCGAAAAUUCCUAAAUUAUAGAGUUAAGCAGCAAAUAUAAAAACUAAAUGACAUUGAAGGGUUGACUUAAGGAGAUCCACAUUUCUUCAACUGACCAAGAUACCGCAUUAUUUAAUUGAACCUGGGACAAUCGAAGAAACAAAGAUAUUUCAACCUUAACAAGGAUACUGUUCAGCUAUUUGCCGGUGAUCUGGUUCAACCAGCUGUUGCAAAAUGGAUAGAGCUUUCUGGUAAUUGCCAAGUGAAGAUUCAAUGUCCUCUAAAGAAGCAUAACAGGAAAAAACAUGGAUGCUUCAAUAAAAACUGGUAAAGAGGGUUCCUCCCCCCCACCUCAACAAAGCAUACACAAGCUACAACGAGCAGUCAAGUACUGACCCCUUUCCAAGUCAACUUCAGCCAAUGCAGAUAAAAUAUCCACUUUCUCCAUGGUGUCACCCAACUGCUGUUUUUCAGCAAUUGCCCUCGCAGUAUCUAGCAUUUUCCAUGCCAAAUCCAAAUCCAAUUCCGAUUCAUCCAUGUCCUCAUUUGCUUCAGCUUCAAUCACAUCAUCAGUGUCGCUAUCGUCACUAUCCUGUCUUUUUCACCUGAAACACAGAACGAAAUCCAACUGAAUGUGUAAAAGAACAGUUAACAAUUUAGUUUAUGAACUAUAACAUUGAUCGUGGAGCAGCUGUUAUGCACAAUUCACAACAAUGUGAACGAAAAUGAAAGAGAUUCAACUACACUGCUCAAUUCAACUAGAGGUAAAUAAUCCCCUCAGAAUACAUACUGCCAUCCUGUUCCGAAUUGCUUCAUACAGAAGCAACUGAAGAUUCCCGAGUUACAGCACUUUUGGUCGGCCCCUCUUUGUUCGAGUCUUGCAGAAUCUCACCAUCCUUUUCCGGAACAGAAACCAGAGGACCAGUCUCCUCUUGAGCCUUGCACAGCAAUGCGCGUCCAUACAGAUAGUACACGUUGAGACAUGCGACUGCAAGUUCACCGUGAUGCAAACCCCUAGUAUGAAAAAACCUUAAAUGGUUAAAUGUAACUUCAACUACAAAUGGCAAUUCACUAAACCUCUGUUUGAUGGGUUUUUUCCCCUAAUUGCACUUUGAAACUAUCUUAAUUACUUCACAUAACAUAAAUUAUAAUAAUGCAAGUUAAUGAAAAAAGUUAAAAUUUUUAUUUUUCUUAAAAGAAAGGGAAAAAAAAAGGGGGUAAAACCAAACCCUGAAUCAUAGAUUUAGUUUAUUUCCUCAUAAAUUAAAUAAAAAAUGGAAAAGAGAUCAGAUGAAGCAGAAAGCACAAGGUUUAAACCUGAUUUCAAGGGCACGGCGAAAAAAAUGGGCAGCUUGGGUGAAAUCGUUUUCUUUAAAAGCCUUGGAUCCUUUCUCCGUCAACUCAUCUGCCAACUCCAGCGCCUUCGCUCGGCCAAUAUCCGGAGCAAUUCCACAGCUUUCAGUGUUGUUCUCAUUAUUGCAUGUAGACUCGGUACCUCCACGAACCGCAGAUUCGAUAGUGGCUUCUUUUGAACCUUGCACUUCUAGGGUUUCCACCUUUUUCGGUUCUGGGGUUGGCUCCGUCAUCGUCACCGGACACCGCCGUAACUUCUUCUUCAGCCAUCACUUUUUUGCUUUAAUAUUUACCGAAAAAUACAAAAGUAUGGAUAACCGAAAACAGGUCUUAGGCUUUCUCUUGCCCGCCUUCCAGAAAUCCUUUCUGGCGGAAAAUCGAGGUUUGAAAGGAAAGACUGAAACCUUGAACGACAAGCUUUGAAGGAGAGAAGUGGAGGAAGGGUACUUUCGUAAUUGAAAGGAAAAAGGUUUCUUUUUUGUCAAAUUAUUAUCAGUGUCAGACGAUUCUGUCAUUUUGAUUUCGAAAGGUAAGGCUCUGAGGAAAUGAAAGCAAAAAAUGGCUUCCACAACUCUUUCUCUCAGUCCGCUGUAUGUUUUUAUAUAUAAUAUAAUGCUUGCUGGAAUUAUAGAAUCUUGUUGAUGGCAUAUAUUUAAGAUGAUAAAAGGGAGCUGAUAAGAUAACAAUCUUCCAAACAAAACGAUUAUAGUAUUGUAAUCACUUUACUAAUCGAAUUAAAACACUUUCUGGGUUUCAACAUUGAUUAACAUUUUACGAAAAGAAAAGAAAAUUUUUAUAGGAUGAAUAGUAUUCACAAAGCAGUUGUUGUUCAGGUCUCAUCAUUCUCGCCGAGAUGAAUUACCCAACAAGCUGUUUGUUGAAGGUGAGCUCUGUCCACUUGACCAAUGAUCUUGUACUGAUAUAGGAGACCUAUUUUUUACUUCUUCUAAUGAGGUGGUUAAACAUUCUCCUUCCCUUUGCUUCAACUUCAUCAGUCUCCGGCUUCCCACAUCGGACAUCUUUGUUGACUUGUUGAAUGAUUUCUCACUUUCUUCAUCUGAGGAAGCUGCAGGAGACUCUAUGCACAUGCCUGGAACCCAAGCGCUGAGUCUGAUGUGUUCUAGCUCUUCCGCGACUUCGAUCAUGGUUGGCCUCAUGUCCCGAUGAGGAGCGAGGCAUCUAAAUGCUAGCUCAGCCACAUUAUGAAUUGAUGAAAGUGUCCAAGCAUCUCUAUGUGGAUCAAGGUAUGGAUCAAUUAUCUCAUCCACGCAGCCUCUUCCUAUCCUAUCGAUAGCAAGUGCAGCUAAGUUUACCUCAUUAUGAGCGCGUGAAAAGUCAACCACUUUCAGCGCAGUUAUUAUCUCCACAAGAACCACCCCAAAACUGUAUACAUCACUUUUAUCUGAAAGAUGGAAGUAUUGAUGGUAUUGAGGAUCAAGAUACCCUGGUGUUCCUUGAGGGGCAGUUGAGAUGUGGGAUGAUUCAGCCAUCCCAAGCCUGGAAAGACCAAAAUCAGCUACCUUUGAUCUAUAGUUGUAAUCCAAGAGAAUAUUGCUAGACUUAAUAUCUCGGUGAAAAAUAGGCGGAUUCACGGAGUGAAGAUAGGCAAUAGCCUUAGCAGUUUCAGCAGCUAUGGUGAGCCUUACUGUCCAUGGAAGUCCUGAACCCCUCUCUCUUUGUAGAUGCUGUGAUAAAGUUCCAUUAGGCAUAAACUCAUAGACCAGCAUAGGUUCACCCUCCUCCAUGCAGCAACCUAAGAGGCGAACAAGAUUUGGGUGACUGACCGAGGAAAGGAGCUUAAUCUCAUUCAUUACUUGGUCAAUACUAUCAGGAUCUCUAUAUCUGAACCUUUUUAUGGCAACCCAGUCAUCGCUGUGGAGUUUCCCUGCAUAAACUGUACCAUAGGCUCCAGUUCCCAGUCUCUGUUUAUCACAGAAGCCAUUAGUAGCUCUUUCAAUUUCUCUAUAGGCAUAGCAAGGAACACUUGAAUUGCCUGCGGCUUCGGAUAUAAGGCGCUUUGCACUCAUCUGUUUGUUGAUGUUAUUAGAACGCCUUCGCAAAUAGAAACAUACAAGAGCCACAAUACCCAUUAGCAAUGCCCCACCAACAAGCCCUAAGAAAUUAAACAAACAACGUGGUCCAUUAGUUACUUAGAGAAGAGAACACAGAAUCUGUAAGAGGGAUGGAUGAUGAACACAUUAAUACAAUUAUUUUGAAUUACAGCCAAAUUACCUCCAACCAGAACACCAACUCUUGUAGUUCCCCCGCAAUUGCCAGAAAUGUAUUUUGAAGCAUUGCAGCUAGGCACUGAUUAAUGUUGCAUUCAGAAACAUAUUGUCAAAAACUAUAGGCAUGAAACCGAUAAAAUAUGCAAAAGUCGACUUUCCAAUAGACAAGCACCGAUCAGAAUCAAGAAGACAUUUGUGUAUUUGUUGCUAAAAUAUUUUCAUAAAUGUAGUGCAUAGUUGAUAGGAAGAUCCUUCCAACAAGUUGGUUUACCAAAGAAGUUAAAUUUCGGCCAUAUUUCCUAAAUUACAAAUCUUUAUAUUUUAGGAGGUAUGAAUUACCAUAUCCAAAUCUACUUUUAUGCAUGCCCUUAACUUCCACGAGGGAGCCAAGUCAAAUAUCAGACAAAGAUGUAAGGCAGAACAGUACAUUGUGCCCAAGAAUGGAAAACUCCAUUAGUUUUACCAAGUCAACAACGCUGUUUUUUGUUGACGUUGACCUCAUUGUUGCCUUUCUUGAAGAGGCUUAGAAUUAUGGAUUAUGAUGAAGGUGAGCGAUCAGUUGGCCCUCACAGCCAAUUUUAGCCACCAUUGAGGUUGAACAUUCAUGACACGCAUUACCGGUAAAAAUAAGUUUCAUCCUUUUGGUGCAAUUCAACCACUAAAUAAGAUGCAACUUUACAAGCAGAAACUCUUGAUCUUGGUUCGUAGUAAUGCCAAAAUUUGAUGAACCAUAGUGCAAAAGCAUCAAAUUGUAUAUGAUUUCACCAAGAGAUCAACUCCUACAAUUCUACGCCAUUUUCUUUUCAAAUGUAGUUAAACUGUUAAAGCUACCAUUUCUAGAGAAACAUUACUAGUCAAGAAUCCCACAAUAAUUUUGCUCUAAAAUCCAAGUCAAAAAAAAAAAAAAAACAAACCCGACAAAAUAAAAUAACAAGUAAAACAAAAUCUUAGACUUGGAAGCGUUGACUAACCUCUCCGGCAACCACCGCCUUCUUUGAAUCCAUCUCCUUCAAACCCUUCCUUGCAAAAACACUUACACCCCACCGUCUUGUUACCAUUCUUGACGUCCGUACGGUUAGCGUUUGGGUCGCAAUUACAGUCUUUAACCCACCAUUCCAAUUUAACUCGUUCCAAAUCCACAGAGACCGCUGAGUUCCUCGCCGGGUCAACUACAAUAGCGGUCGAGGAAAACAAGAAACGGCACUGCGUUUUAUUAACUUCCUCGAAACUCAACAGCCGGACGCCGUCACCACCGCUGGAGAAACAGCUUAUGUUGUCACUCCUAGCAGCGCAAGGGCCAGCUUGAAACGACCUUUCUAGAAACAUUGGCCUGAUUUCACAAGGACCUGGUAAGGGGUUGGAACAGUUUUGGAGAAGGAGAGUGUUGUCCACCGAGAGCGCGUAGUUCUCACCGGAGAGAACGGCGAGUGAAGCAAGCGGUCGGUAGCAUUUGGCGGGCAGGUCGAUGAUGAUGUCGUUGGAAGUUAUGUUGAGGACAUGGAAUUCUCCAAUUCCGACCCCGGUCGAGUUGCAGUUGAGUUGGAUGGGGCAACCCGGUGUGAACCCGAAUGGAAAGGGUAUGGGGCUUGAGAAAUUGCUGGUUUCGCAGGAGCCUUGGCACUUGUUGUUCUCCGAGUUAACUGAGUUUGCUCGGUAGAUAACAAAAAGAAAUGUUAUGGUUAUUGAGAAGGGUAAUUUUGCAUAGCACGACAUCAUUUUCGAUUCUCAAAGAACAAAACAGAGCAACAUCAGCUUCCUACAAAAAAGAAAAACAAGCUUGAAUAAGAGGAACAGAGUAAAAAGUAAAAUAUGUAGGUAUUGAAAAAAAAAGAGGGAGUUAUUGAAGGGGGGGGAGGGAGUUAAAGCAGAUCGAUUGAUGGCGUUGGGAAGUCCAUCAAAACUCAAUAAAUGCUAAUACAAAGAAAGGUCAAUGCAUUGUAAAUUCGGGAAAUUUCUUUCAAAAAGGAAAUUUUUAAUGAAUGGGCUUGGUUUAGUUGAGAAUAUUUAUGAGCUUACCUUGUUAUUGUUUCUUCUUCAAUGGCUGCAACAAUUGCCUCUUCUUUAUUCCAAUAACAGAGCUUCAAAUAAAUAUCUGAGCUUUGCUAACGCUUCUUUAGAAGUACUUUGAUUUUGGGUUUUUGGUUUUCAUUUCAAAUCAAACAAGAAAAAAAAAAAGAGAGAAUUUUGGAGAAGAAGAGGAAAUGGGAAAUGAGUUGAAAGUUUUUAAAUAUAACACAGAAAGAGUUGUUAAAACUCCAUUGACAAGUGUAUAGUGAAUUAAUUAUUAUGAAAUAACUGUUUUACCCUUUUAAGUUCGGGAGCUGAGGGAAAUGAUUAGACGGAAAUGUCCUUCGAAAAGUAGGUUAAAUUACGGAGAUAGACCAAACCAGAUAUUAUAUUGUGGGUCAGCACCGCACACAAUAAAAAAGAGGGUUUCGAGUUUUGACUAAUAACAUAGAUAUAUAUAUUUUUUAAUAAAUUUAAAUACAAGUAUAAAAACAAUAAUAUUUUAGCAAAUUUUAAAUUGUAUUUUUUAUUUAAUUAAUUUUUAAUUUUAAUUCAUCGAUUAUGUUUUAUUUAUGAUUUAUAUUAUAAACAUUGACGUAGAAUCUUGAAUUUUAAUCCUAUAAAUAAAAACAUAACUCUUAAAACAAUUUUUUUCAAUUAAAAUCCAAUGAAAUUAGUCAACGAGGGCUUAGUAUCAUCAACAAAUGGCGAGACUCUAGGUUUUAAGUGUCUAGAUUCGAAUCUUAUUAUGCACAAUUGUCAUGUGUAAGUAUCUCAAUCUUAACAUGUGUAGUUUUUAUAAGUGGAUUUUGUUAUAUUAUAUUUUGAUUUUUUAUGCAUUUGUAAUUGUAUUGGUUUGAUUAUACACUUCAACUUAGGUUAGUUUUUCUCUGUUUUUCUUAUUUUUAAAUCAUUUUUGUAUUUGGGUGGGUUGGCUUUUUUUUUAUGGUUUGAAACCAUUAAUUUGAGCUAAAGAACAGUUCUACCAGUUCAGAAUUUGUUGGUCAACCCUAAUUCUGAGUUGCUCACUCUAAAACCAAUCUAACCCCUUUAACUAAAUUAAUAUAUUAGUUAAUUCUUGAUUCAAUUCAGUUUUGACAAUAUUACUUUAGGUGCCAACAAGAGGUUUAAUCACGGCUCCCUUACAUAAUUGGCACUCCUUCCUUACUAUAAUAAAGAUAUACUAGAUUAUCACGCACUAGGUGAAAAAUUAUAUAAUAAAUAUAUUUACUAAAAAUGUAUAUAAAAAUAAAAAGAACCUUAAAUGUAAAAAUUAAAUAUUUAAAAUUCGUUGUUUCAGGAGUUCAAAUUUUACUAGGGUUAAAUAUUUAUUGAUUUUAUAUAAAAAUAUAAAAUGAAAAAAAUAUCUUAUAAAAAUUAAGAUUAUUUUAAUAAUCUCGUAACAAAAAAUUAUUAUGAUAAUUUCUCAAUCGAACUCUAUUCAAUUGGCUCGUGACAUUAACUCAUUUAAUAUAAGUAUAGAUAUAAAAUAUUGUUAUAAUAAGUAUGUGGCCUCUUUUUUUCAAUUUAGUGAUACUAUUUAAUUUGUUAUAAAAUAAGUUAUACUGUUUAAUAUAUUAAAAGUGGAUUAGACUUUGAUUUAGCGGUAAAAAUUAAGGUUUUUUUUGGUAAAGGUAGAAACUUUAAUUUAAUUUCAUCUAAUUAUAUUUUAUUUUUAGAUAAGGUUUCAUUACUUUAAUGGUGAUAGGUGAAGGUGAUAAUUGAUUAUAAUUAUAAUUUUAAAAUAUAAAUAAUAAAUCAAAUCAAAUUAAGCUCAAAAUUUUUAUUACAGAAAAACUAAUCCAAAUUGAGGACUUGUCUUUUUCAUUUUUCUAUUUGGAGAAGAAGUCAAGAGGUUUAAAAGUCAACAAGACAAAAGUGGCAUUCUAUUAGAGGACUUUUCUUUUUAUAAUUAUUUAUAUAUACUAGGAUAAGUAAAACCCAAAUUGAAAUUCUGGUAAUAUAAAAACCAUGUGGAAAUUUUUAGUUAAUUUCUACCCCUUAUAUUUCUGAAUUUAUAGAAACAAAAACAAAAGUUUACCAUCACAAGAUUAUUACCUUUGUUGCGAUAAGCUGUGGUUUUUUUUAAAAAAAGUAAUAUUCUAGUCGUGAUAAUUCUAAUAUUUAAAUUUGGUUCAAGUGUGGAGGAAGAAGUCCAAUUAUUUGCUGGUAAAUAAAUAUAUAAACUUUUAAGAUGACAUCUACUUUGAAUUUCGGAUUAAAUUUAACUUGAUUUCAAAGAUAAAGCCCUCUCCUCAAUUUCUUUGCAAGCAAUGCUAUUGGUAAGAGGAGCAGCAACUUUUGACCAGUGAAGGUUGUAUUAUUUUCAUAUUUCAGGGCCUUGAUUUGUGCAGCAUAGACGAAAAAAAGCUUCUUCAAGGGUGUCAAGCAUGGCGUAUAAUUAAUUAAUUUUUUUAAUGCUUUCCAGAUAACAUUGAACGACUUUCCCGUUAGGUUAUCUACUUUCUGUAAAUUUUCACCAUAUUCCUGGCAAAUUACAAUAGAAUUUUGGCAUCAACUUUGAGAAGGUAGUGCCAUUUUACUUCCACAUUAACUUUUAGGUACAAAAGUUGAAAUGGUGCAAAGAAAAUUACAGUUAAACAAUGGCAUCGCAUGCAAGUAUAGAAGAUUAUUAAGAAAGGAGCAUGUGUUUAUUUGUAGAUUUCCACCACUUCCACUCUCAUCUUAUUUUUCUUAAAAAUCACAUUUUAUUUUCAAAUCAUCACUCGAGCGAAGUCCCAUACCACUUCACUCAACCCAUUCAGAAUUAUCGAUGAAUAAAUAUUUGAAUAAACUCUUUAAAAUAAAGAAAUAAUUUUCAAAUUAACAAGUAAAAAGAUGUUCCAAUUGAGAAUUUCAUUACAUCAUUCAAGAUAAACUCGUUUUAAAUUAACUGUUUAUGUUAUAGAUUUGUGAAUGAGUUGGUAAUGAUAAAUCCAUAAAUGUUUUUUUAUUCUCAAAUUUGAAAAGGCAGGCAAAAAGAACACUUCAGUUUGAGUUCUAAUAUAUGUAGUGUUUGGUUGAGGGUACAUAGAUUUGGAAAUGGAAGUCAAAGGGGGGUGGCACAUGGCCAGCCCUAAUAGAUUAGGGCCAACUUUGCUUUUUCAUAAUGUCAACAAUAGAAGAAAAUGAUGCAAUUAUAGACCAAGGCUUCUACUUAUUAUAAACCUUUUUCUCAACUCCAAUUUAAUUCACUAAUGUUUAAUAUAUAAUAUUUAGGGUAAAUUAUACCAGUAGUCAUCUAAUUAUGUUCUUUUUUCUAGUCAUCCAAUCAUGAAAAAUUAUAAAAUUUUCACUCAAUUGUUCAACUUUUAUCUUUUUUGGUUAUCCAACUAGCUUAGAUUUUUGGAUGUUUCUAUUUUUACGUUAACUCGCCGAUGACAAAAAAAGACAAAAUUGAAUAUUGAGUGACUAUUUUGUAACAUUUCAUUAUUAAUAAUUAAGUGACUACUAAUAUAAUUUAUCCUAAUAUUUAUUAGGAUAAAAAUCACUCACCCCUCAAGUUUACUGUAAAAUAUAAUUUCCCUUAUAGUUUGAAGAAUACUCUAAGCAAAUUUAAAAUAAAAAGACAAUUAACUCUAUUUAAUUUAUUCAUUUACCUUACGAAAAUUUAAUUCUAUUUUUGAACUACCAUAAAAUUAAAUAUAUUUGACUUAUGUAUUAAAAAAAAUCUAUUUCACUUCAAUUAAAAUAAUGUAUCUUAAAUUUAUAUUUAAUUUAGUUCAUGUUAAUCUUUAGAUGAAUUUAUUAAAUUAUUUUUAUAAAAAUUAAUUAAUAAUCAUUAUUUAAAAAGUUUGAAUAAAAAAUUUACUAAAUAAUAAGAAAAAUGAUUAACCACAAAGAAAAAAUAUUGAGGACAGAACAAAUAAAUAGAAGGCUUAAUUAAAUAAAUGUUGAUCCUUCCCGCUGUUAAAAAGAAAAAUCAGAGCUAUCAUUAAAAUCUAAUUAAAUAAAAUAUAUAUUAAUAUUAAAUAAAAUUAAAAAAAAUCCUCCCCACCAAAGCAGGGUACGGAAUCGCGUUCCAGUCCACAACCAAAGCAACCUAUCAAUAUCUGUUAGUAUUCAUGAGUGACAAACAAUGUGGGGAUCCUGAAAUCCCGUUGUAACAUUACAUCCUUAAGCUGCACCACAAAAACAAUCUGAAUCAACUUCAAAUGCAGCACUCAUCCCACCACCUCCUUACCUUACAACUCUUCUUUUCAAACGUAUUUGUGAUUUCAGUCUGAGAUGGUCUCUUUGGAAUCAAUUUCAGCCAUACCAUCAAGUUAGAUUAAGUUUCAAUUUGCAUAGUUUUACACUGCGUGUUUUAGAUUAAACCUCGCGUUGGCUCAAACUUAGGGGGAGGGAUGGUGGUGGGAGAGAGGGAGAAAAACGAUGUGAUACCUCACACCCGACUCAAUUGCCGAGCCCAAAUGUGAGACACCAUAUUUGUUGUCAAAGCAACUCAAACUGACUCGUACAUUGAAUUCAUCAUGAUAAUCAAACAUUAAUGCAUAAGUAACCCAACUGAACACGUCAAUUUAACUUAACUUAACAUGCAAGCAACACCUGUUUCAUUGAGUAAACACCAUAUAAUGAUCAUGCAUACCAACAUAACCUCAUAUUCAUACCACUUCACAUAUAUACAAACUUAACUUGGCUUACGAUUCACUAGCAUUGUAAAUUUAAAUCAUAGAAAGGGGCUUUAAAGCUAGCUUUGACACUAGGUGCAUGCCAACUCGAAACAUUAUAUUUUAAAGAUUAUACAAACAUUGCUCAAUUGAGAAGUGAGUCAUGGAUGCUGUCGAACUUUUUGUACCCACGAGACCUAAUCGUCACUAAAUUAUUUGUUCGUCUUCUGUUCUUAGCCUUACGUUGUUCCUCAUUUUCAACCUUGCUCAAUGACACUAGUGUAGAAAUGAUAUUAAUUUUUCAUCAUUAAAUAUAUUAUUCAAACCUUUCACUUUAGUCUCCUUAAAUCCUAUUAUUUAAAAUUCUCGUAUUUUACUAUUUACCCAAUCAAUUUAUAACUAUUCUCCAGGGACCUCAAACUAUCAUUAUUUACUAAUAAAUCUCAUAGUCCUUAUUUUUUACAAAUAAAUCCUUAGUAAUUUAACAAACAUCACCACUUCAAUUCUAAGAUGUAUAACAUAAAAUCUAAAUUCAACAACUAAGAUUUCACGGCUUUCUAACUUAAUAUUCUACAUUAAAACUUCAUCAAUUUAUCAAUCUAACAAGUGAGUUUUUCAUAUCUAUCAUUGAUUAUAAGAAUCACAAAGAAAACCUUACCAAUUUUUCUUACGGCAAUGAAGGAAAACCAAAGCCAAAACUCCUUUCUUCUUUCUUGGUUCGGCGGGAGAGAUGAUGAGAAUGAAUAAGGUUUGUGUCUCUUGCUCAUUUACUAUACCUUAUUUCCAUCUAAUAACAUUAAUCAAUGGCCCAAAUUUCUCAUGAAAGAUCUAGUGGAUGUUUAUGGCAUUCAUCAAUGCUUGCUACUAACUUCUAAGUCAACUAUGGGUUAAUUAAGUUUAAGUCCAUGUUUAAUUGUUUAGUAAGGACCUGCUCAAAUCUUAAAUCAAAUCUCCUUAUUUACUCACCUUAUAAUUUAGUCUUUGUACUAUUUGUGUAAUAACUUAAUCAAUUUAAUGGUUCAAUUGUUCUACCAUCUAACUUUGUACUUAUCUCUAUAAUUUUUUGUUUUAAAAUUUUUGGAUGGCUCGGUUUGAUAAGUUCAAUUUCGAAAUUAAUUUUUUUGGCACCAGUAGAAAUCAGGUUGUUACAAGUAACGAGGAGAGGGAGGUGUUGAUUUGAUUUAACAUUAAUAUAAAAAUUUUAUUUGAUUAUUUAAUAAGGUGAUGGUGUGGCGCUUCUUAAUUAGCUCUGACUAUUCUUUUAUAGGAAUAUAGUGAUAAAGACCAACUUUAAUUACGGAAAAUAAUUUAAAACCGAAUUCAAACAAAUGACAUAAUUUAAGAGCCUCAUAUUAAAUUAACCCUAAAUUGGAUAAUAAUUAAGUAAUAAAGGGUUAUUUAAAAUUCAUUUAAUAAUUAAAACUUGAAGAUAGUAUAUUUUUUUUAUCAAGCUUCAACAGAUAAGUGGGUAUCUUUCAAACCAUAUCGGUUUCCAUAAUUAAAAGAGGGUAGGCGAAUUUUAUAUCGGUUUAAAUACUUUACCUUCUAAAAAAAUUAAUUAUAAAAUAUGAAAAAUUCCAUAAUUAAAAGAUAAAUAAUUAUAAAACAAUAAUAUAUGAUAAAUAAUAUAAUAAUAAAUGUUAAAAUAUGCUCCAAAUUUUUGUAUUUUUUAUACACUUGGAGUUUAAUUCCCCUAAUUUUAUUUUAAAAAAUUUAUGAAUUUGAAAAUGCAAGUUUAAUUGUUAACACGUUAAAAUUCUUUUGUUUAAUUCAAGUUCAUUACAAUUUUUUUUUGUUACAUAAUUAUCAAAUGAGUAAUUUCUUUUAACUUUAAGAUAUCACACCAAGAAAAUAUUUAUUUUAGCCAUUUAUUUAUUUUUUCUCCUUUUCAACCCUUAAACUUGUAUUUUUUUUAUCAAAUCAUCCCAAAAUGAAAUGAAAAGGUUAAUGUUUUUUAACUUUGCGAACUAUACACACGCCAACAUUUAAUUAAUUUUUUUAAAAUUUAAAAAUUUAAAAAUUUAAAAAUUAUAAAAGUUAUUUUUAAAAAUUAAAAAUUAUAAUUUUUUUAAUUUUUUUAAUUUUAAAAAAUAAUUAAAUGUUGAGAUGUCAUCUAUGUGGCAAUCCACGUGUAUGCCACGUCAACAAAGUUGACAAACGUUAAUUUUUUCCAUCCAUUUUGAGUGAUUUAACAAAAAUGCAAGUUUAAAAGUUAAAAGAGGCGCAAAAAUAAAUUAAAAGCUAAAACGAUCUUUUGUAAAGUUGAAAGGCCAUAGAAGCAAAUUAUGCCUUUUUUGUUUCUUUAUAAAAUAAGAAAAAAAAACAACAAAAUACCCCCAUAAUAAUAGACCUAUUCAUAGGUCGGGCCACCCUACUUAACCUGAAGGCCCGUCCGAAAAGUGAAAGAGUUUGGGCAAAAAAUAAGGCCCAAAAAAUGGGUUGGGCAAAAAAUAAGGCCCGUUUAAAAAACGAUCUAGGCCUCGAGUAAGACAUUUUUGAUCCAGUCCCCGCCCAACCCAAAUUCACAAAAGGACAAAAAAAUCUAUUUUUUUUCUAUUUUAAUGCUAUUUUCUUGUUACUUUCUCCUUAUUUUGCUACUAUUUUGUUAUAAUUGCUGAAAUAUUGUAAAACACUUAUUUUAUUAUUAAAUUUGUUAUUAUUUUAAAAAUAUUUACUUGUUAAGUUGCAUCUAUCUAUCGAAGUGUUAUUUAAAUAUACAUAUUUUUUAAAAUUUAUUUUUAAUUUGUUGAAAAAUAUUUAUUUUAAUCUUUUUAAUAUUUUUGAUGUAUUAUAUAUAUUUAUAAAUUAUAUAAAAAGUUUAAUAUGGGCGGGUUAGGUCACUUUUGAGUUUUAACAUCUUUAUCUGGGCCAAACUUCGGGAAAUUUUAAGCCUAUUUUUUAAACCAGGCCUAAUAUUUUGGUUGAACCCAACGCAUGAACACCUCUACAUAGUAAUAUAAUUUAUUUAAAACAUUUUAAUAAUUUCAUUAACUAAGUUGAUAUCGAAUUGACUCAUGACACCGACUUAAUGAUGCAACUUAAAAAAAUAGUAUAGAUAUUCCAAUUUAUAAUUAGUUUUCUAUUAAAUGAAAUUAUUAAUAAAAAAAAGUUACAUAAGAAAUGAUAACACUAUUGAGAGCAGGAGGAAUUCGAAGCUGAUUCAAACGGAUCUUUUAACAACUAGAGAAAUGAUAACAUUAUUGAAUUAAUCACGAACACAGACAAAAACUUCCUAAGUAAUAAAUAAAAAAAUUAAUUAAUAUACAUUUGCACUAGAGCAUAGUGUGUUGCGAUAUGGAACAUUAGUGGAGUUAUAUUUUCAUAGGUUGACUGAUGUCAUGAUCUUCCUAGGGCAACAUUACAAUAUAGGAAUAUAAAUAAAUGGUUUUAAAAAUACUACAGCUAUUUACAAUCAGCCUAGCUAAGGGGUUGGUUCAUCUAUCAUUAACUUUGGUCAAGAAAACUCAACAGAAAGCCACUCACAAUUCGGCGAGCUACAGGGUUAGGGAUACUUCGACACAAUCUUCCAUCAAUAUAUGCCAGUAUACCUGAAAGCACAAAUUUGACUAUUCCCCAUUUCCAUAUAAACCUUACCUUCUGCACUUCUCCCGUGUCUGCAGGGACAAUCUCUUUCGCUUCAUCUUUCUCUGCUUCUUUCUUCGAUUUGAUGAUUGCGAUAUAUUUAUCCGCUUGACUUCUUAAUUUACGGAUUGCAAAACUCACAAACAGGUGCUCACACAAUGUUAUGAUGGUCGGUCCUAUUCUCCAUUCCUGGAGUAACAAAUUAUCCUCCAUUAAUAGAAUGUGAGUGUGGCAAUAAACAUCAGUGUUCAGCACAGUCCAUUUACAAUUACAGAAUGCACAUACGCAUGUUCCCCUUUCUCGGUAUCCUUUCUUCCCUCUCAGAGAUCUCUAUACUAUAUUUCCAGUUUCCAAAGAGAUGCAGAAAUCAAAAAGACCCACUUAAAAAAACAAAGCAGAGAGAGACAGAGACCAAUAUAAAUGGGAAAACACAAACACACAUGGUAUCAUUAUACAAAUCAAUCUUGCACUGACUGGAUACUAGAAAACGUAGUGGAAAGGAUCAGAAAUGGCAACUUGGAUUGUUCAAGAACCCUCAAAAGCACAAAAAUUUAAUAAAGUGGCAGAUUAAAUUGAUGGAUAAACUUACACUUUCUCCUUGAACAUUGCGAAAAGGGCGGGAAGCUGUUGCAGGAUCUCCUUUCAAUAAUGCUUUGCUUAUAAGAAACCCCUUCACACUAUCCAUGAUCUCAUUUAUGAGGGAACUGUUAGGAGGUAGAUUUUUGAGGAAAACCUAAAUAUAGAAUAAAUCAGAAAAGAGCAUGUAUGAAACUCAUCCGUCAAGUUGGUAAGGCAAAGCAAGAUUCUGAAAAUGAAGGUGGGUUGGGAAGCCAAAAUUUAUCCUCAAAAGCAAGGUAUACUUGGAUGAACACUUUGUUAGAAGUGAUAAUAUAAUUAUGAAAGACCCACAUAAAUUAGAUGUCCCCUUUCGCUGCUAUCUAAAUCUCAAAUAAAUAAAUAAAUUUUGUUGCAGUACUGAUAUUUCUAUUUUCUCACUUAAUCAGUUACCUGGUCAUCAAUUACUCUCACUCGAAGAUAUUCUUGCCUGUACAUUGAGUCUAACAUAGCUUGUAGAUAUCCUUCAAUGUAUAACUGCAGAAGUUGAAACCUUAUCAGUGACCAUUAAAGCAAAAGUAAAACAAAUAGAUUAAUAACAUCAGAAAAAAUCAGCAUCCAUUGAGCAGUGAGGCAAAGCAAUAACAAUCUGAAUUCCUACAGAAGUAAUCACAUAAAGAUGCUGCUUAAUAUCACAUGCAAAAAAACACUAGUUUUCAUGUGUGUUUUUCAGGUUCUCUGGUCAUGGUUCUGUAUCUGACACUCGUUACUAGGUAUCUAUAUCCUCAGCAUUAUUAGUCAAUACUGCUUUCAUUACUGUAAAAGGAGACUUGAACCGAACAGUAUGAUAUAGAAUUAAGAGUACAAAAAACUGAGAUUGUUACCUCAUCAACCCCAGGGCUCCUAUCAAGCUUGAUUUUUCUGUCUGGCCCACUCCCCAUCAAGGCUGUACCCAGGACCGAAGGCUCCAUAGCCAAUUUUAAUAUUCCUUGGUGAAAUCCACUCACCUUUAGAAUAAACAGUCGACUGUCACUUUCAACAGUUAUCCUUAGUAAUACUUAGAAAAUAAGCUAGAAAACUUAUGCAAAUAUAUGCAAAAUGACACAUUGACUGGUACCAUCCCAUUGAAACCGCUUGCUUCUGCCCCCUUCAAAACAGAGUCAGAUAUUUCGGUAACAGCAGCAAAAAUUACAUUAGAGCCUGCUGUUUUUAGCUGCAGAGUUGGCACAGAAAUAACAUAGGUAAGUGCAAAGGAAGUAGAAAGAAAAUCACAUUCCUUAUUGAAGGUUUAUAGAACUUACAGUUUUACCCAGAUCACCAAAGUAGCGUUUUGUUCCCGAGAAACCUUUACCAUCAAUACAUCUACUGAUGAAUUUAAAGGUACCUGUGCAAAAUGAACAAAGCAGAAAUAAAAUAUCUCAACUUACAAACAGCCAUAAUCAAUUAUGAUAAAAUAAAUAUAUCUGAAUCUAGAACCUGAACUUAAUCACAGAAUAAGCAGUCUACACAUAAUCAGUGCCUUGAAAAGUAUAGUCCCCAGAACUAAACUAUGAAUCUUUUAUAUUUCUCAUAACUCUUAUAAUGCAAAAUUAAAAAAAAAAGGGAAUUCCCAACUCCAGUUUCAGUAAUGUAGCAUAUGCACCUAAAAUCUAGUGAUGAUGACCCUCUCAUAUAUGCCCAAAUAAAUCAUGCAUGCAGAAUAGGUAAAACAAAUAUCAUAGAUGCCACUAUUAAUUCCAAGGUAAACCCAUACAGGAAAGGAAGACUUGAGUGAACAAACCAUAUAGAAACCAUACCCCAUUUGAAACCAGGAAGAUUCAUCAAGCCUUGAGAAGGAUCAAAAAAGAUAUCAAGGGAAGACGAAGCUAAGUCAUCAAAUAUCGACGCAAAAGCUGGGGGCAGUAGUUGGCUACCUUUAGCAAUAGAAAUGGACCUCAUGGCAUACCUGGUUAAUUAUAUCAUUCUGAAAGUGAGGAUACCAUAGUUGCAAAACAAGCAAAACAUAAAUGAAGAUCUUACCAUGAAUAAUGUUGUGCACAUCUUAUUAACAAUUCACGAAUUGUUACUAGAGCAUGAGUAACCGAGACACCAUUUAGCUCCACAGCCACCUUUUUUAUAGGAGGAACCUAUAGAAGCAAAAGAAAAGUGUAUAAGAAAAAGGAAAAUGACCCUACUCAAGAUGACACCAAAGAACGCAUGUUUCACUAUAUAAGAACAACUAAAAUCAUGCAAGCAUAUAUUAAGAGCGAGCACAGAACACAACUCUCACCUUUACAACACUAUGUAGCAAUGUUCUCAGAGCUUCCUGGGCUGAAUUAUAACUAGAAUAGGAUUCCCCAGGAACAAAAGUUGCAAUAAUCUGUAGGUAGAAGAUAUAUUAAAACUAAUGUGGUAGUUAAGACAGUCAUCAAGAAGAAAUAGAAGCAAAAAUAUAUUUCCUUUAUUGGGUGGAUCUCAAAAUUGUCAAAAUAAAACUGCUGACUCGGAGAACUUGAGUCACUCAGAGAUGUUCUCCAAAAUGAGACGAUUUUCAUCAAAGUAUCCUCAUCAAUAUUCAAAUCAAUUGGCUGCAUAAGAAAAAGCAACAAACUUUGAGCUGCUGUACUCUGUUCAGGGAAGUAAAUAGUACCUUCAAAUUUAAGCUAUUCUUCACAGUUCCCAACACCCAUAGUUUCUAAAAGAAAACAGAAACAAAAGGAACAAAUGCUACAAUGGUUCAGGAUAGAUCCCAGAAAGAUAAAUACAGACUGCCUCAUUAUACCUGCAGAAUAACAGAUGCAUAUUUAACUUGUUUAACAUCAGCGCCUGCUGAAAGUAGGAAAAAUAUGAUUUUGAGCAUGCUAUCAUUUGCAUCACUGUCAUCUAACCGAUGUCUACGUAGCAUUGAUGCAACAGGAGCUCCCAUCCACUUGACAUCAACCGUCAAUGACUAGAAUGAUGGUUAAAUCAAGGAGCUAUUAGUACUCACAACACUAAAAGUAUAUCAAUUUAAACUCUUAGCACAUUUUAAGGUAUCAAACACAUGGAAAUAUUUUACCUGAACAGCAAUCUGGUUAUAUUUCUGUUGGUCCAUGAACAAAGAAUCCAGACUAAUGUUAUGAAGCCUUGCAACAGCAAAUGGUGUAUAACAAAGUGUUCCACUCUGGUUUAAAUCCUUGACAAUAUUAUAACAUCAAACAAAGACAAUAAGUUGAACAGACCAAUAUCAUCACGAUGCACUUUACCAAACCUAUGAUAAAUAUAAAAUGCAAUCAAAUAAUCAAAGUCUGAUUUCUACUUUUCAUGCUGUCCAAUUUUACUUUUUGGGAUUUUCACUUUAGCAAAAUCGAAAUCUUUUAGCAAUUUAGUCAAUCCAAGGUCUAUUCUAUGUGUUUCCAAAAGUUCCUUUUAAGUGCAAUACAGUUUUUAUGCCUUAAGUAGUUAGUUCACAAGUCAACAAGGCUUCAUGAUUGAGCACCUAAGACCAAAGUAGAAGAAUAUUCAGUCAUUAAGGCCUGGAAGAGAAUUGUCUAGUUUGGCACAAUUAGAUCUAAGCAGAUAAACAUGGCACCUGCAAAUCAGAGUGAUAUUGCCCUUUGCUAGUUUUCUGAGUUCAGACUAUGAAGGAAUGAAAUUAUCACACAAAGAGAGAGGGAGGAGAGACCUCUUUUGCCUUCUCAAGCAAUUGGAUAGCAAACUGGGAAACUCUCAUCCGAAUCUUAGCACAUGAGUGAAAAGCUUUGUCUUGCUUAUGACUAUCUGAAAACUCACAAAUCCGCAAAACACGUGUGGGACCAUCUGCAUAUACUUCAUAUCCCACCCUUACUGCAUUCAUGCCCUGAUGCUCACCAAAUCUACUUCUCUUACCCUUGGAUUUUUUGUCAAAAAGUAUAUGAGACGCUAACCUUUCUUGUGUAAGUUUAUAAAAGGGCUUCCAUGUCCGCACUUUGUCUAAGUUGAUUUCUCGCGGCAGAUUCAUAUCUACAAGGAAAAUCAGCAUAGCCAUAAUUUCAUAAGCAUUUUUCUCAACAUUUAAGCUAUGGACCACUAAUGUGUAUAUUCAUGUAACAGCCCUGAACGACUAAAUAUGCUUUGUCUAAGUAUCUGCUUAUUGAUCUAAUUGUAUAUUAGUGUAACAGUAAAGCAUAGUAGAAUUCUACAGAAAACCGUAGAAGAAUAUAUUUUCUAGCAGCAUCCCUGUCUAAUCCUCCACCUAAAUUUUCUAUGGUACAUGAACACUUCCAUUCCAACUAAAGACAGAUGAGAAAAUAUAUAAUUCGAACACUAUCUUAAGUUUGACACAUCAAAAAUUAUGCUCACUGAAGUCAAAUGAACUCAUUAGUAGAACAAACUUAAGGCUCACAACAGAGUGAGAUCCAAAAUAGAAUUCUCAAUUAUAAAAUGCAAGAAAAGAUCAAUAUACUUGGACGUACAAGUUCUUUAUGAAUCCCUUUUACUUGUUCUACUAUGAAAAUCAAAUUCCAGAAAAUUCAUUGCAAAGCAAUUACACAAUAAAGAAUAAACCUACAGAAACUUAUCAAUACUAGCUGUAAAAGCAACCUUAAAAUGUAUGUUAAUGAUAUGAACAAGGCAUUUGCAUUCAGCUGGUUAAAUUGUUUUCCACGAAAGUAGAAACUGAUUUACCAAGGCAUUUUAUGCUAAUAUAUAUAAAAAAAAACCCCUACAUCUCUCUUCCCAAAAGCAGCCAAGAAAGCCCUAAUGGUGAAAAGGCAACUAGCAAGAUUAGUUCAUAUCAAAUGCAAAGUAUAAUACCCAUACUCCCUUUUCUCUAACAGUCCUGCUAAAACUGGAUGAUGGUUAACAGAAACCAGGAAACCAUUACAGGCUUAUCUUCAUGGAAAUCUCCAAAAACUAAUUGAGGAUUGCCAAUCGUCGUGAAAUGUCAGUAGAAAUCAGUUACAGGUCAUGUUUCCUGCAUCUUCCUACUUAAAGUUUUAGGGGAGAGUUCAUAAAAAAAUCCAUAGGGCCCUAGUGCAGUUAGAGGAUUCAUUUGGUUAAAGGUGGGAAUGGUGCAACGAAACAGCUUAAGAUGGAAGUUAACAUUAAUUCACACAUCUGUUGAAAUAAAGUUUCUCUCACUUUCAAGAAACUGCUGAUCUCAGUGAAAUAUACUUAUGCAUUAAAGGAAACUUUUAUCAAAGUGUUUGAUUUAUAAAUCAUAUAAUACAUUGUCAGAAAUUCAAAUGUCUAAUCAGAUUAACAAAGCAACCGUCACAUUCAAUGCUUCGUUCAAGUGGUCUUUUCCACUGAUUUUGAGUUGCUCUACCUUCUAACUUUUAGCUGGCUAGAUCAAGUGGCAUACAGUUUUGCAACCAUCUUGAUGAGAACCCGAAGACCAAACUUAAAGUAAAUAAAAUAUAUUGCCUGGCAUAUCACUCAGAUAAAGAGAGAGCAGAAGUUAAUAGAAACAGAUACGUGUGCACCCAUUGUGAAUACUCCACGUUCUAGGAAAUUAUAAAACUCAAACGUGUAAGAAGAAACAGCACAAAUGAUAGAUCCAAACAUGUUGCACAAGGAGUUUGACUGUUCCAUUCUCCAAAGUUCAAAUGUCGGUUAUGUUGAUUACAUCAUAAUUACUAUAAAAAUACAUGCAAGUUUGGAAUAAUGAGAGGCAAGUAAUUACCAUUUAGUAUAACAACCAGUUUACGAGGAAGUGUAACAUCAUCCCAGGUAUAAUCAACAAAGCAUUCAGAUCCAAGAAACUCUGACUCUGAUGAAUUCUGGGAAAUUUCCAAUAAUAAUUAUCAGUAACAAAUUAAUACAUAUGGAAUGCCUCAAUUGAGCAUUAACUAAUUAGACAGAAUAAGUAACAUGGACUCAAAGCACAACCUUCUGAUAGUAAGUGAGGGAUGCACCAUGCAGAUAAUUCUCAAUCCGAUACGGUAGCUUGCUGCUUGGUGGUUUUUGGAAGCGCACUACAAUUGUAGAACCUUCCUCGACUACAUGAACUUCUGCAAAUUCUGCAAUCUUUUUGUCCUCUGCUGUCAACUGACUAGAAUGCUUUCUAAAUUUUAGGAAAAAACGUCCUAAUGAAGUGAUGCAUAAUGGUCCUGACCAGUCCAACUGAGACUCAUUCAACCGAAACUGAAUAUAUAUUAAAGAACUAUCAAAAUCAUUUCUAUGCUUUUUGAUGAUAUUCUCAAAUAAACUGUAUUCUGCCCUCUUGCCAAUUUCUUUCUGCAGCAAUAGUGCUGCACUCUGUCUACUGUUGAUGGAAAUCAUGCCAGCUGUGUCAACCUUCACAUCCAAACACCGAAAAGGGGAAGAACAAAGAAAGUAAGAACUUGAAAUGCAUAAAAUAAAACUGCAUCCUACAUCGGUGGGUACAAACCUCCAAAUUACACUGACGAACAGUAAUAUUUUCCUCUGACUCAUUCAGCACAACAUGCCUUGGAGCAAUUGUUAUUGUUUGUGAAGGAACAACACUAUUCAAGGAAGGUGCAAUAGAUACCCCAAACUUUGCAAUAUAUUUCACUCCAGAUCUUUCCGCUAUCUCCAGACUUACUUCUGUAGGGCCUGAUAGAGUAUCCAAAUCAAUUUGUGGUUCUGAUGCAGGAUUUUCGAAUAACCUGAGAUGCAUCUUACAGGAUCUGGCGGCAGGAGUGCACAAAAAAGUUAUAACCAAUGAAGAAACCAUAAUAUCAAAUAUGCUCUGAUCAUAAAGGUAGAUAACGAACUUUAAAUGCUAUAUAACAGUUCCAAAAAAUUUUGCUUACCGCAAAAACCAUGACCCUGUUGACUUUGGGGGUAAAAAUAAACCUAAUUCAGGACGAAUGCCCUCCAUUUCAUUUCUGCAGAUGUUCAUGAAUUAUGGCCAUGAAGUAUAUAAGAAAGCAUAACCCAGCACUUUAAGAAUUUGCUAACAAUUUUCAGAGAUAGAAACUACCUAAACGGAGGCUUCUGACCAGAAGCAAAGAAGAACAUAGAGAAAUCGGUUUCAUUCUUCAGGAUAUAUGGUGUAUAAACAGUAGCCUGUAACAGACAAAUAAUUCAGCUAAUACAUGCUCUGGAACUUGUUAAGCAUCCAUCCAAAAAUCAAUCGGUAAUAAGAGGAGGGGCCCAACUUUAAAACCACAGGGAACCUAAUAUUUAACAGAUGUGAAAUUACACCACUUAACACUCCCCUCACGUGUAGCUCACAGGGCCUACAUGUGGACAACCUUACCAGGGGUCAGGUUGGAAAAACAACAUAACAAAACCUUGGUUCUCAUAGAUGUUAAGCAUCCAACCUAAAACCAAUUGAUAAUAAGUGGAGGGACCCAGCUUAAAUAUAAGACCAUAGGAAACCUAAUAUCUAGCAGAUGUGGGAUAACACUUAAUAGAACUUCUACAGCAAACAAAACUAAACAUGAUUAAAAAAAGAAAAAAUGAAAACUCAUGAUACGUGUGCACCUCAGAAAAUAUAUCAUCAAGAAAAAUUUAGAAUGUAUCACAUUUGCAAACAACCUCUAAUAUGCCUUUGUAUCCACGGGAUAAUCUUAAGGAUGCAAAGUAUUUUCCACCACAGAAAUCCAGGUCAAUGUCCAAGCAACGAACACCAGUCUUAUGCUUCAGUAACUUCUUGACCCAUUCUCCACUAUUUACUGGUUUAGAUGUUGAACUAAAAGCAGUUAAUGAAACCAAAAAGUACAUUAUAGCAGGAUUAGCAUAAAAAUCAACAGUUGAUCUGCAAGGUAGAGUUGCCUCCUUCCCAAUGUUGUCAUGGCCAGUAGGGGUACAUGAAUCUGCAACAAGAUGGAAGUUAAAAGAGUAAAAAUAACAAAUACUUUAUUGUUCAAAAAACUCGCAGGUCAUACUUGUC